RNAcentral lists this long non-coding RNA (61521 nucleotides) under Ananas comosus (pineapple). Its description in RNAcentral is "long non-coding RNA (ACOM_LNC031639)". The stretch from base 34819 to 34892 matches the Rfam family "tRNA". Lineage: Eukaryota; Viridiplantae; Streptophyta; Magnoliopsida; Poales; Bromeliaceae. The record is from RNAcentral.
AUCUUGUACAUAAUAUUAAAUUACUUUAUUAUUACUUCAAAUUUGAUAAGUAAUUUUAUAUUACAUAAUUGAUGAUGAACUAGACUGGAAUACUAUCAAUAGCACAAAGCUGUUGGUGCUAUUAGUUUUUUAAUCCUUGGAUUGAGAAAUGCGCGGUUAGGAUGAUGUGGGCCCCCUAGGGUUGAGUGGGUGGUUGGUUGAAUAGUAUAAUCUAACGGGUAAAAAUAAUCAAAGGUUUAAAUUUAAGUCUUUGGUGCUAUCAAUAGUAUCCUCAGCCGGACUUAUUGAUGAUAAAGCUUUAUAAUUGUUCAAUCAAUUAAUUCUUCACUCUCUCCCUUUAUAAAAAACUAAAAAAAUUUAGGAGCAUUUAACAAGAUUUAAUAAGAUAAAAAUACUAUUCUUUUAGAUUAGAUUAUACAAAUUUUACAGAAAUCAGUAUGAGAAUCUAACUAAAUGACUUACACAGAUUUCAUAAGUAGGUCUAAAUAAUUAUAUUAAAGAUAUUUUUUUUAACUAAAUAUCUUAGACAAUAAGUAUGCAUGUUGCUAAAUCCUAAUUAUGAAUUUUAUACAAAAGUUAUAAUUUAUUAGUGAGAACUGGAACAUUUAAAGGGACAAUUAUGAAAAAGACAAACUGAUAUUUGCUUUGCUGUUAGUGUAGAUUUUAACGGAAGUUACUUUAAACGGUAGUUUUGAAAGUUUGUUGUAUCUAGAAGGGCAUUUAGCAUAUUUUUAAUUUUUAUAAGGGUACCUUUGAAAAUAUAUGCUUUUUGGAGGGGCACACAGGAAAUUUUGCCAAUAAUAAAGAAGCUUCGUUCCUAUUACCUUCUUUCAAUACACCUCCAAACCCAUAUUUUUUGGGAGUUAGAACCUACUCGGAAGGUCACUCUUUCCUACGAAGUCCAACUAACAGAUAUUGGACUCCUCACUCUAUACUUCCCUUUGCUUGUGUCCUUCCAUAUCAAAUACCCCUCUCCAGUAGCGCUUCCUUGGACCGCCAUUCGCUUCGUCGACUUGAACCGAACCUGAAAGCUCUUACUCUCAGUUUCCUCUUUAAAAGUUAGUACCGCCGGAGUGACGCUCACCUUCACUCCACGUGGCGCAACCACUUGUGCAGCGUACGUGGAAUUUGGGGUGCCGACGUUGGUGAGUUUUCUUUGAAUCAUCACUCUCGUGCUGUUCUGUUUGAAGGCUAUGGAAAUCGAAGGGUAGUUCAGGCUGAAGUUGUUGUUUCGGUGAAGAGUUUCGUUGCAGUUGGUGUUUCUGUGAGCGAUGGUGAAGAUCUCCAAAUGUGAGUAUCCGAGAGUGCAGAGGUGAGUGAUGUAGUCGUUCGGCUCGAUGUCGUAGACUAGACCAGGGUCCAUCGCUUUCGUCGGAUUCACAUGACCAGCACCGAUCGCGAAGAGCCCUGCUCUGUCUCUCCCAUCCAUUAUCGGCUUCCCGUAGUGGUCCACCACGUCGGCCGUCGUCAUAAUUGCUGACCGGACUGCCGCCGGGCUCCAUGACGGGUGGGCUGACCGGACGAGAGCGGUGAUUCCGCUGACGGUGCCCUCGCCCGACCGACUGUCGUGCCGCCGUAGACCAACUGCCCGACCGGUCGCCUUGUCGAGUUGAUGUAUUUCUUCAAUUCUGUCGACUCUUUGAAGCCGAUCAUGGUAGCCGGCAACACGUGUACGUCGACGGAAUCCUCCUGUAAAUUGAUCUCCGCAUUGGCAAGAACCAUAGCAGCUCCGCCCGCUUCUUUCACAGCCUCGCCUUUCUCAGCCCGGCCGUUGAUCCCUCUAUCGCAGACCACCAUCUUUCCCGCCACUCUGGCUCUGGAAAGAGAGCCCUUAAGACAAUAUUCUGCGCCUUUGCUCCCGCCAGAUUCAUGAACCAACUCCAACGCCUUCUUCCCCCCAUUUUUUGAAUACCUGUUUCCCGGAUACAUGGACUCGCCGUACAGGAUCCGGCCAUUGCCAAGCCGGAGGAACAUGGGGAACCGCCGGUCCAUGGUGCUUGCCCCGACGGUUGUGACCCAGGGGGCCUCGUUGGCCACUGAGCUUGGCACGGGCCCGUUGUUCCCGGCAGCGCAUAUGACUGCCACACCCCGUUCUGUCGCGCGAAAGCUCCCUAUCGCGAUGCUAUCCUCGAAGAGCGGGAUUGGGAAGCCACCCAACGAGAGGGAGAGGAUGCCAACUCCAUCUUGGAUGGCGUCGUCCAUCCCAGCUAGUAUAUCGGAGCUGUAGCAGCCGUUGAACCAGCAGACUUUAUAGACGGCCACAUGGGCCUCAGGGGCCAUUCCCUGAGCCACGCCUGUGCCGAGCCCGAAAACGCUUGCCCCGUUCACUGUAGUGCCUGCGGCCGUCGAAGCUGUGUGGGUCCCGUGCCCGUGUGCGUCGCGGGGUGACAUGUACUCCAACAACGAGGAUGAGGAAGCCGGUGGGUUGGUUGGGUAGUUGGCACGGUGGCCUUUAGAGUAGAACCGCGCGCCAAUGAGCUUCCGAUUGCAGCUGGAGGAGUUGAAGUUCUCUCCGUCUUGGCAAACACCUUGCCACCGAGACGGGAGGGGCGGCAUCUGGUGGUCGGAGAAGCUGGGACUCUCAGGCCACACACCGGUGUCGAGCACACCAAUUAUGGAGCCCCGGCCAAGGCCCGAUUUGGCCCAUGCGCCGCCCGGGCUAAUGUUUAGCCCCAAAAACUUAUAGGAAUAGGUUGUAUGCAGCUCGAAGCGGCGGUCGGGGCGGAUCGACACGAUCCCUGGCGAUGCCUGUAGAGCUGCGGCCUCGUUUUCAGUAAGACGUGCUGCGAAGCCCUCCGCCGCAGUAUGGUACGAGUACAGCAGCCGAGAAGAAGCGGUUCCUGUGCCUCCUCCUCCUCCUCCUCCUCCUAUUGGCAGAAAAAUUCGAUUGUGAUUAAAAUCUAAUUAAUUUAUUAUAAAUAUAAAAUCAAACUUACAGAUAAAUAUAAAUAUUUUAAUAAAAAUUUGAUCUUAUUUGGAAGCGUGCGAGCCCUAAGAUAUAUUUCCGUCCUUAUAUGCGAAAUUAAUCGGAAAUAACACCUCAAGGUACAACCGAAAUUACUCCUCCUACGAACACGAUCGUAAAGGAGAUUGACAAAAAUUUUUUCAACACUCAGUGAAUAAAGAGAACGAAGAUUGUUUCAACACCCAAUGAAUAAAAAAAUAUUCAAAAAUAAAAAAUAAAAGAAUAAAAUGGAUAAAGAUUAAUCAAUUAUCUAAUAUCUUUUCUAUCUAUUCUUUCUUGAUAUAGGAUAAAAACAAAUGAAAGAGAAUUUUACACUCUUUCUCAUUACUAGAAAAAAACGGAACUCGCGCAACGGAACAAGAUUUAGUUUGGCGGAAAAAACGGGAUGAAAAAAAUAUCCGUUGAUUUCUUUCUCACUAAGAAAGAAAAUAAAAUAAGUAAAUAAAUAAAUUAAAUAAAUAAAUAAUAAAAAUAAUAAAUACUGAUAAAUAAGAAAUAAAUAAAUAAUUUAAAAUUCAAAUAGAAAUAAAAAUUUAAAUUUUAAAAUUUUGAGUAUUUCACCAACACCUCCUUCUUCUCCUUCUUCUUCUUCUUCUUCUGUGAGAAUGACUUGUUCGAGAAAGGAGAGGUGCCGAUGGAGCUUAGUUAAUGGGAAGUAAGCCCCGGGCAGUUCAUCUGGGCGGACGUGGACAAUAUAUGUUUGGAGGUUUUGGGCGCGUAGAUGGACCCAGUAUAGGAGGAAGAGAAAGAGUAAGAAGAUGACUAGUGGGUAAGCCAUGAGUGAACAGUAUUUUUGGAUGAGGUGCGGUGGGAGUACAUGGGGAGCUAGUGCGGCACGGCAUGGGAGUAUAUGAAGGGCGGAGGGGCGGGGAGGAGGGUUUGAAAUGGGGAGCCGUUGCAUUGCUGGGGGAGGGAUGAAACGCGUGACUGGGGGCGGGGGCGGGGGCGUGCCCUGAACUGAAGCCUUGAAGGACUCUCCUCCUCUCACGGUCACGGGGGAGGGGGUGGGGCGAGCACACGCCUGCGGCUGCCAACGAAAUGAAGACGAGCUGCGACCUGCGACUGGGACGUCUCACGAGAUGUUCUGCUGGUAUUUAUUGCUGGUCUUGGCUUGUUACUGUACGCACGCGCUGCAUUUCUUUCUUCUCGAGCUAUAGGCGGCACACUUCAAAUCAGUUUUUUUACCGUAUCGUAUCAAUAAAAUGUUAAUGUUAAUACGAUACAGUUUUUGUACGGAUGGUAUAACUUUAAAGUUAUUUUUUUUUUAAAUAGUAAAUAAUUUUUUUAAUAAAAUUUUAAAACAUUCUUAUGCCAAGCAUCAAUUUAAUAAAAUUUUUAGUUUAAUUCGCUGUAACAGUCAUCUCCUUCCAACAGUGCCUAUGAAAUAAACAUCAUUGAAACAGUCAGCCCUUGCGUAUGAGAGUAAUAGCUUUUGGUUGAGGAUGAGUGUAAAUACAGAGUCAAGCAUAAAAAGCAUCUGAAACGUUAAUCAAUCAUUCCUCUUAACGUAUUUCUUAAAUCUUUAUCCCUUCUGCUACUCACAAAUGAGCAACAUUUAUAACUGCAAGAUAUAGCAAAUUUCAUGUUUCAGCACUAAAACCAUAGGCUAUUACCCAAAGUCUGCGCCACCAUGAUAUGAUUAACACAUUGGAAAAUCUAAUGCGGGUUCACAAAAUUUAAUUGAAAAUCUAAAUCUGUGAGCUCACAAACUAUCUUGAAACAUUUUCCUUCCAUAAUAUACAUUCUCACUUGAAACAAUUAUAAGAAAUGACUUGUUUUUCUUAGUAUACAGCAGCAUGGCCCUUCAAAAUAAAACAAGAAAAGGGGUCCAUUUACACAUGAACGAAUGACCAGACAGAUUGAUCAAACCAAUCUGACAAACUCACUGCAUUUUUUCCCUCUCUAGAGUUCCAAAAUUGGCAUGCAGCUUCUUGACAAAACUCCACAUUGAGCUUCAAUUUAAUAACAAUAUAUCAUUCGUUCUCAAACUUUUAUUAAGGCUUGAUAAUUGUCACCAUAAGAAUCACUCCAUAAUAGAUGACUUGUCUGUUGGAGAAUCAACAGAUUGUCUAGCAGAAAGCACCUUGUCUAGGGUUUGGUCUGCAACUUUGAUUCCGCCAGUCUCCAUAUCUGCAACUAUUGCAAUAGCCGCAUCAACUUCCCCAAGAUCGAGGCACAGGAUGACGACUUCAUCAUAUAAUGGGCCGAAUCAAUCGUAAGACAAAGAAAGGGGAAAAGAAAAGGCCAAUCCAAAUCAAAUCGAAAACAUAAUGUUAGAGUGUUGUAUCAGUAAUCAAAACAACUCAGUAGGAUACGAAUCGAAACUACUCGGAGGGAUAUGAUUCCUACAGACUAGUUUUGUUCAAACAACCGUUCCAUCUCUAUUAAUCAUUAAGACAAGAAAAUUGUCAGAGCUUAUAAGAGCCUAUUUGGCCUGGCUGCAGGGUGCCAUGCUAUUUGAAAGUGCCGUUUGUGCACACUUCUGUUAGAAGCACGACAUUUGAAUCCCCCAACAACUUCCAGCCAGAGGAGAAGCAGAAGCCAUAUUUGAGCCAUUGCUUUUCGCCUCAAUAUCUCAUUUCUGCUUUAAAAAGCAAGCUCGACUCUUUUCUGACUGCCAAAUGCUCUAUUGAAAGUGAUUAUGGCACAAAGCAGAAGGAGAAGCUAGGCCAAAUGGCCACUCGUUGUCUGCAAUAUUGUUAGGAAAGUUGAAGGAAGAGGCGCCCUUAUGGCAGCACGCAGAAUUGUGGCACAGUCUCCAAUGGUUGGCAUCCCACCCAAUUCUAUCACCUGAUAAGUUGACCGAGCAUUGCUGUUCAGAUAUUUCCAUUCAAAACCAAACAUAUCCCUUCUGCUGAAUAACAUGAAGAAACAUGCUGAACAAACAUGGUCCAGAGCUUAAACCAAACUUCGUAAACCGAAACUCAAAAAUCUUAGUUUAAAGUUUCAAUUUAUGUGGGUGCCAAUCCAAACUACUGGCCAAAACUAAACCAAAGUGAGACACUUUGGUCCGGUUCCAAUGCAGAUUAAUUCUAUAGUAAUGUGGAUCUAAACGACUAAACAAACCAAAACUAUCUUAUAGGAACUAAUUGUGUAAUGCUAUCAAUCUUUACACAAUCAAAUGAUUGCCCUUAAUAGAUGAGAAUUAAAAGUAGCUUUUACUUUUACCACUAUGAUAUAUCAAAUUUCUGGAAAAUUAAGCUUAAUUAUGACAUACCAAUGCUUUUCGAAAAUUUGAAAACGUUUAACAGAUAUUCGCAACAGGAACCUUGAAACUGCGGAAACAUUAAUUUUUGGUAAAUAACUAAAAUAGAAACCUAUAGGAGUUUUUGAACCACAAAUUAAAGGAUACUAUUGAAUGGGUUCAGUACAAACUUGUCGCUGAAGUUUUAACUCCAACCAACUCUGGUUUCAGUUUCAGCGUGGAGCCUCAAUUGUAACACUUUAGGGUUGUUGAAGAUUUAACCCCAACUUCUAUUUCAUCCUCAGAGUUUAACUUGACCCCAGAGUUUUACCUUGAUUCCAUUCCACUACUGAAGUUUGAUUUUCAUGUCAACUUAGUCCUCAGAAUUUCAAUUUUACCAAACCAAAAUCUAAUGAUAGUGCUCCAAGGCACUACUUAGACAAUAAAAUAAAAGGGCAUAAUUGUUUUUCAGAACAAACUUUAGGGACUACAUUGUUAUGAGGACUAAGGGCCAGUUUGGCCUAACUUCUGAAAAAGUGAUUUCUGAAAAAGUAAUUUUUGUUUGGAGAAGUGAUUUUGCUUAAAAGCUAUAGAGCGUUUGACGGAGUUUAGAUAAAAGUGAUUUUUUCUGAAGUGAUUUUAAAAAGCUGUUUGGCAAAUUAAAAAUUUUGAAAAGCUGUUUGAAAAGCUAUUUAAUUUUAAAAAUAUAUUUAAAUUUUAAACUUUAAAAUUUAAAAUUUAAAUUUAAAAUUUUAAAUUUUAAAAUUUUAAAAUUUAAAAUUUAAAAUUUAAAAUUUAAAAUUUAAAAUUUAAAAUUAAAUUUAAAUUUAAAUAUUAAAACUAAAAUAAAAAUAAAAUUUUGAAGUUUAAAUCCAAAAUCAGAAUCAAUUUUCAAGAAGCAGCUUUUUUCUGCUUAUGAUUCUGAGGCCUUCAAAAUCAGUUUUCUGAUUCUAAAAAGCAGAAUCAGAUUUUUAAAGUGAGUUACCAAUCGCUCUAUUGAGCCGAAAAUCACUUUUCAGCCCAAAAGCGUUUUUUAAAAGCUAGGCCACACACCCCCUAAGUUGAAAUCAGGAUCAGGUGUGGGGACCAAACUUGUAUUCCUUGAAAGAGACUAAACAGGAACGGAAACAUGCCUUGUGCAUGAUUUUGAUUGCUAACUCAACCUCCCAUUCUUGUGACCAUUUCUGUGAGACCCCAGAUAGUCCUAUAUAUGAGAUAUAAUAGGGCUAAACUCUUAACCCAGCUUAAGCAUUUUGGGUGGUGGCAAGGCCCAAGAGGUUAAGAGAGUUAAGCGUGCUAGGACGGGAGUAGUCCUAGGAUGGGUGACCCCCUGGGAAGUNNNNNNNNNNNNNNNNNNNNNNNNNNNNNNNNNNNNNNNNNNNNNNNNNNNNNNNNNNNNNNNNNNNNNNNNNNNNNNNNNNNNNNNNNNNNNNNNNNNNNNNNNNNNNNNNNNNNNNNNNNNNNNNNNNNNNNNNNNNNNNNNNNNNNNNNNNNNNNNNNNNNNNNNNNNNNNNNNNNNNNNNNNNNNNNNNNNNNNNNNNNNNNNNNNNNNNNNNNNNNNNNNNNNNNNNNNNNNNNNNNNNNNNNNNNNNNNNNNNNNNNNNNNNNNNNNNNNNNNNNNNNNNNNNNNNNNNNNNNNNNNNNNNNNNNNNNNNNNNNNNNNNNNNNNNNNNNNNNNNNNNNNNNNNNNNNNNNNNNNNNNNNNNNNNNNNNNNNNNNNNNNNNNNNNNNNNNNNNNNNNNNNNNNNNNNNNNNNNNNNNNNNNNNNNNNNNNNNNNNNNNNNNNNNNNNNNNNNNNNNNNNNNNNNNNNNNNNNNNNNNNNNNNNNNNNNNNNNNNNNNNNNNNNNNNNNNNNNNNNNNNNNNNNNNNNNNNNNNNNNNNNNNNNNNNNNNNNNNNNNNNNNNNNNNNNNNNNNNNNNNNNNNNNNNNNNNNNNNNNNNNNNNNNNNNNNNNNNNNNNNNNNNNNNNNNNNNNNNNNNNNNNNNNNNNNNNNNNNNNNNNNNNNNNNNNNNNNNNNNNNNNNNNNNNNNNNNNNNNNNNNNNNNNNNNNNNNNNNNNNNNNNNNNNNNNNNNNNNNNNNNNNNNNNNNNNNNNNNNNNNNNNNNNNNNNNNNNNNNNNNNNNNNNNNNNNNNNNNNNNNNNNNNNNNNNNNNNNNNNNNNNNNNNNNNNNNNNNNNNNNNNNNNNNNNNNNNNNNNNNNNNNNNNNNNNNNNNNNNNNNNNNNNNNNNNNNNNNNNNNNNNNNNNNNNNNNNNNNNNNNNNNNNNNNNNNNNNNNNNNNNNNNNNNNNNNNNNNNNNNNNNNNNNNNNNNNNNNNNNNNNNNNNNNNNNNNNNNNNNNNNNNNNNNNNNNNNNNNNNNNNNNNNNNNNNNNNNNNNNNNNNNNNNNNNNNNNNNNNNNNNNNNNNNNNNNNNNNNNNNNNNNNNNNNNNNNNNNNNNNNNNNNNNNNNNNNNNNNNNNNNNNNNNNNNNNNNNNNNNNNNNNNNNNNNNNNNNNNNNNNNNNNNNNNNNNNNNNNNNNNNNNNNNNNNNNNNNNNNNNNNNNNNNNNNNNNNNNNNNNNNNNNNNNNNNNNNNNNNNNNNNNNNNNNNNNNNNNNNNNNNNNNNNNNNNNNNNNNNNNNNNNNNNNNNNNNNNNNNNNNNNNNNNNNNNNNNNNNNNNNNNNNNNNNNNNNNNNNNNNNNNNNNNNNNNNNNNNNNNNNNNNNNNNNNNNNNNNNNNNNNNNNNNNNNNNNNNNNNNNNNNNNNNNNNNNNNNNNNNNNNNNNNNNNNNNNNNNNNNNNNNNNNNNNNNNNNNNNNNNNNNNNNNNNNNNNNNNNNNNNNNNNNNNNNNNNNNNNNNNNNNNNNNNNNNNNNNNUUUUUUUUAAAAAAACAUAGAUUUAAAUUUUGACAUUAUUCAAAAAUUUUGAUGUAAUUUUUUAAUAUUUAAUAUUUAAUUUGAAUUUAAAUUAAUAUAUUAUAAAAAUAUGUUAAUAUACUAUUGAUUACGUUUUUAUAUCACCUGAACCAAACACCACAAUGAAAUUAUUUAUUCCGAUUCCGAUUCAAGUGAUGAACAAACAGAAUUAGAUAAUGAGUCAUUCCGAUUCCGAUUCCAGCUUAUUUUGAUUCGAUUCCGAUUCCGAUCUCCGACUUCGAACACAAACGCGCCCUGAAUGAUCUUCAACUCCAGGGAGCAAGGAACCUCAUCCACUGAUUUGUCACACACUAAUAUGUCACCCUUCGCACCUUAUGUCACCAAAACCCUGAAAAUCCUCCCAAGGAAAACUUUUCUCUCCUAAAUGAAUGAACUUACAUGAGCAAAUGCAGCAAUCAGAUACGAGGCCAAGGUGUGCUUUGUGUAGAGGCCUGUCUAUAAGCAAAAGCAGAUUGUUCUACAGGAUUAGCAUUAGGAAAAGGUGUUCAUAUCAGUCUUGAUUCCAAGCAUAUUAAGGGAAGAAAAAGCUGUGCAUUAACAUUUUUCCCCCAGUAGUAAUUAUGGACAAAUUUGACAGACAUCAAGUAUGUUAUCUGUUUUAGUCUUCACUAAUAAUUCUGAGAUUAUUCAUGCACAUAUACACAUAUGAAUAAUAGUUUCCAUUUUCAUACUAUUCCAAAGGAUUGAACUUCAUGUUUCCAUUUUUAUUCAUUGUAAAAAACAUAUUACGCACAUUUUGUACACAAGCUAUAUAAUUUGAUCCAUAUAAAACAGUCUUACCUCAUUAAACAUAUAAAACUAUAGAAAUUUUCUAGAAACAAUAUGCUAAAGCAUUGUAGAAAAGUAGGUUAUUAACAGGGACAGAAAUCAUUAUGUUAUCAUCUAAUAUAAUUGCUCUUAUUUAUAUUUAAAUACUUUGGCCAAACUUUCAUAGGACCUUUCGGUUAUUAAGGUCUUGUUUAGAUGUGGAAUAAGUUAUCAAGUGAUAACUUGUCCGGUACAAGGAUUUUCUAUUGUGAUUGGAAGCUAGGAGUUUUAAUUUUGACUUUGAAAGGACUUUGGAAGCUAGGAGUUUUAUUUUUUUUUUGACUUUGAAAGGACUUAGCAUCGAUAAUUUGGUAGUAUAGCAUAUUUUACUUAGCAUCGAUAAUUUGGUAGGAUAGCAUAUUUUACUUAUGAAGCGAUAUAUCUUAUUGUGAGACCCCAUAUAGUCCCAUAUAUAAGAUAUAAUACGGCAUACGGCUAGACCUAUUAACCCGGCUUAAACAUUUUGGAUGGUGGCUAGGUCCAAGAGAUUAAGAGAGUUAAGCGUGCUAGGAUGGGAGUAGUCCUAGAAUUGGUGACUCCUUGGGAAGUUGGGGCGUCACAAUUGGUAUCAGAGCCAAUUACCAGCCGGAAGUGUGAGAUGAAUUUCGGCUAAGCUAGGGUCGAAAUGACAAGACCAGCGAGACAAGUCUCACAUCUCUUGGUACUUGUGAAUCUGAGCCUGACGAGAACGUCAAGGCUUAAAGGAGGGGUGACUGUGAGACCCCAUAUAGUCCUAUAUAUAAAAUAUAAUAGAGCUAAAACUCUUAACCCUGCUUAAGCAUUUUGGGUGGUGACUAGGCCUAAGAGGUUAAGAGAGUUAAGCGUGCUAGAAGGGGAGUAAUUCUAGGAUGGGUGACCCCCUGGGAAGUUGGGGCGUCACACUUAUUCUCAUAAAAUGAUUUUGAGGCCUGAAUAUGGCAUGCCAUGCUAGACAUAGAUCACACUUCUCAUCUACCAAAUAAAUACAAGCUUUUGUGUUAAGAAGAUAUGCUGAACAAGCUUUGUUCACGCAUCCAAACAGGGCCUACAUGAAUUAGCAAUUGUACAUAUUUUGUACACUUCUUUUAACCCUUAAUGUAUUUCUAAGACGAUAUUUUGAUCUGCAUUCUGAAAAUGAAAUCCAAGUUAUUCUCGUAUAAUACAUAAAAUAUAUUUUGUUUCCAAUCCGUAUUACCAAUGCAUGUUAAAACAAACAUAAAAUGAUCAUAUAAAAGUUAGAAGUGUCGCGUGUAGUUAGUAAUCAUAGACCUCGACAGAUGCCCGAGCAGCCCUCUGUGAUUUUUUUGUAGUAUUUGUUUCCUCUGAAUCCUUCAAUAGUUGUAUGGCAAUCAUUUGAAGAGGCUUAGCUCGCUCAACUUCUUUGUCCUUACUAAUAUCACCAACUUCAACUUGACUUUCUGUUUGUUCCACAACUUCUUCCUCCUCAUCUGCCUCAUCUUCCUCUGCUUCUUUUGCCACAUCCUCUACCACAUCAUCAUCCAACAUAUUAGGAGUAUCUGGAUCGCCCGCAUCAAUGGUCCUAUCCUGAAUAUUUAAAGUUUCACCCAUAAAACGGCUUUUCCAAACUCCGUGUUCCCAUCUUCGAAGCUUAAUUCGAAAUAUUAGUUCAUCUAACUCUUCAUCAACCUACAAAUAGAACAACAAAGAAAAAAAUAUAGAGAGACUCAGUUCAGAACUUGCAAUAGUUAGCAGGUGUCAACUAAGACAUACUAGGACUUCUCAAGACAACAGUGUUCGCAAAAUUACUAAAUUAGCAGCACCUCUUAAUAUGGGGCGUUACAAAUGAUAGAAUUUGAUUGAAUGGCUCAAUGCCUCUCUUUUGGUUGUAUUCUUCUUCAAUAAAUAGAUCAAUAUACAGUGAUUGUUGGCUGAUUUCACUCCUUUUGAAAAUAUUAAACCAAAUUCGCCGACCGAACAGAUCCAUGUCACCGUCAUCAUCUUCGUCGCCGUCAUCUCCAACCUUAGCAGUUCAGUGUUUCCGAAAGAAGAGGGGAGGGGAAUCAAAGAUUUCCUGUUUCUUCGGACCCUUCGAUCCAUUUCAGGAACAUUGAAUCGAUCUAGAAAAGUCUCAAACCAGUUCAAAUCCAAAUCAAAUCAGAUCAAACGGGGAUUUCUGCGGACCCCGAAUUAAAAUCAAACGGGGAUUUCUUCGGACCCCAAAUCAAAUCAAGAUCAAACGAAAAUUUCUUCGGACCCCAAACCAAAUCAAGAUCAAAUAGGGAUUUCUUCGGACCCCAAAUCAAAUAAGAUCAAACGGGGAUUUCUUCGGACCCCAAAUUAAAAUCAAACGGGGAUUUCUUCGGACCCCAAAUCAUAAAUCGAACGGGGAUUUCUUCGGACCCCAAAUUAGAAUCAAACGGGAAUUUCUUCGGACCCCAAAUCAAGAUCAAACGGGGAUUUCUUCGGACCCCAAAUCAAAUUGCAAAACUAAAAAGUGAUUUCUUCGGGCCCCAAAUCAAAUUAGAAUCAAAAAGGGGAUUUCUUCGGACCCCAAAUCAAAUUGCAAAAUCAAACCGGGAUUUCUUCGGACCCCCAAAUCGAAUUGCAAAAUCAAAAGGGGAUUUCUUCGGACCCCAAAUCAAAUUGUAAAAUCAAAAGGGGAUUUCUUCGAACCCUAAAUCAAAUUGCAAAAUCAAAAGAAAAUUUCUUCGGACCCUAAAUCAAAUUGCCAAACCAAAUCAAGUUCACAUACGAACCCAAAACCAAAUCAAGUCCACAUACGAACCCAAGCCAAACCAAGUCCACAUAAAAACCCAAAUCAAAUCCAACCAAAAAUCCAAAACCAAAACCCAAACCCAAAUCAAAUCUUCUAGUCCACAAAUAAAACCCAAACCUAAAGCUAUAAAAACCCAAAACCCAAAUCAAAUCCAACCAAAAAUCCAAAACUAAAACCCAAAACCCAAAUCAAAUCCAACCAGAAAUUCGAAACCUAAACCCAAAUCCAACCAAAAAUUCGAAACCUAAACCCAAACCCAAACCAAAAAUCGAAACCCAAAACCCAAAUCCAGACCUAAAUCCGAUCAAGUCCACAAAUAAAGACCCAAACUCAAAUCCAAUCCAGUCCACAAAUAAAUCCAAACUCAAAUCCAAUCCGAACCACAAAUACAACCCGAACCCAACUUCCGACUUGGACUCAUGAACCCAAAUUCCUUGAAUCAUGAACCAAAUCAGAAACCCAAGUUCAUGAACCAAGUUCAUGAACUAUGAACUAAAGUUCAUGAACCAAACCCCGAAACCCAUAAACUAAGUUCAUAAACCAAAUAAACCAAGUUCAUGAACCAUGAACCAAGUCCAUAAACCAAAUCUAUGAACCAUAUCUAAUGAACCAUGAACCAAGUUCAUGAACCUUACCCAAGUUCGUGAACCAAACACCACGAACUAUACCCAAGUUCAUGAACCCAAUCCCAUAAACCAUACCCAAGUUCAUGAACCAAAUAUGAUGACCCAUAUAUCAAACCCUAUGAGUCAUGAACCAAGUUCAUGAACCAAAUGAACCAAGUCAUGAGCCAUAAACCAAUCCCAUACACCAAAACCCAUGAACCAUAUCCAAGUCCAUAAAUCAAACCCCAUACAUCAAACUCUAUAAACCAUACCUAAGUUCAUAAACCAAACCUCAUAAACCAUACACCAUACCCAUGAACCAAAUCCCAUGAGUAAUAUACCAAGUUCAUGAAUCAUAAACCAUACCCAUGAACUAUAAACCAAAUGAACCAUGAACCGUAUCCAAGUUCAUGAACCAAAUCCCAUACCCAUACCCAAGUCCAUGAACCAUGAACCAAAUCCAUACACCAAAUCCAUACACCAAAUCCAUGAACCAUAUCCAAGUUCAUGAACCAAAUCUCACAUACCCAACCUCAUGAACCAAAUCCCAUAAACUAUGAACCAAGUUCGUGAACCAAACACCACGAACCAUGCAUAAGUUCACGAACCAAAUCCCAUAAACCAUGAACCCAAGUCUAUAAACCAUGAACCCAAGUCUAUAAACCAAGUUCAUAAUCAAAUCUCAUGGACCAAAUCCCAUGGACCAUAUAUCAAACCCCAUGAACCAAAUCUCACAUACCCAACCUCAUAAACUAUAUCCAAGUUCAUGAACCAAAUCCCAUGAACCAUACACCAAGUUCAUGAAUCGUAAACCAAAUCAUAUGGACCAUAUACCAAACUCUAUGAACCAUGCAUCAAACCUUAUGAGCCACAUACCAAGCCAUAUCCAAAUCUCAUGAACCAUAUAUGAACUAGUUCAUGCCCAAAGUCCAUCAUAAAUCUUUUUUUUACUCCAGCACAUACACCUAGAGUAAAAAUUAAAUAUCGACUACCUCUAAUACAUAUACUUAGGGCUAAGUCAACUGCCUUAGCACAUAUAACUAAGGCAAAAUAUCUCCAAAUUGACAGAGUUCUAAAUUAUAUACUUAGAAUUCAGUCAAAUGAUAUCAAAUGUACUUAGAGUUCAUCCGACUAACCCUAAUACAUACCCUUAGGGUCUAGUCAACCUUUUACUCUAGUACAUUUACCUAGAGUGGAAGUCAAACCAAGCUCGACUAGUCUUAACCCAUAUACUUAGGGUCUAGUCAGCCUUUGCUCUAGCACACCUACCUAGAGUGAAAUCCAUACCUGAUCGAGCUCUAAUACAUAUACUUGGAGCUCAUACGAAUCAAAUCCGACGAACCCUAACGCAAUACCUUAGGGCUUAUUCAGAUCCUCACUCUAGCACAUAUAACUAGAGCGGAAAAUAUAUUAAACUCGGUUAAUCCUGAUACAUAUACUCAGGAAUUAACCACUCUCUACGUUCAGGUAAUUCGACCCACCUCAAUACAUAUACUUGGGGUCGGGUCACAUCUCCACCUUGGAAUAUACGACCAAGGUGAAUAUAAUCGAACUCUAAGACAUAUACUUAGAGCCAAUUAGACUCUAAUACAUAGAGUUUAAUAUCGACUAGGUCUUAACACAUAUACUUAGGACCUAGUCAAUCUCAAAUCCAACUAAAUCCUAAUACAUAUACUUAGGAUUCAAUAAACCAAGACACGAUUCAUCUCAUCCCAUCUAUAAAGGUCUCUUAAUCGAAGGUGCCCCAAUCUACAGGGGUAAUUAACAAUAGAUGUUUGCAUCUUUUGGAAGCCAUGGACUCGCUACCUGAUACCGAUAUACAUAUACAUACUCAUCUAAAUCAUGAAUACUACCCCACGGCCUAAAACCCAUCGACCGUGCGAGGUGCGUCAUUUGUGGUGGCAGACAAGAACGAUGAGUAUUGGGACAUGCCGCCCAAUCAGCAUCACUAAAAGCAACAAGAUACAUAGGAGAGCCAACAGAAAAAAAUAAGUCUCGACAAGGAGAGCCGCGAAGAUAUCGAAUGAUGCGGCGAACGGCCGCCAAGUGUAGAUGUCGUGGAGAGUGCAUAAAUUGACUAACCUACUGUACAGCAAAGGAGAUGUCAGGCCUAGUAAUAGUCAGGUAAUUCAGGCUACCCACUAGCUGUCGAUACAACAAAAGGUCAGGAAGUAUCUCGCCCUCGGCAGUGUGGUACUUAACAUUCACUUCUAGUGGUGUAUCAACAGAUGAAGAAUCUUGAAGACCAGCCAAUGCAAUCAAAUCCUGAAUAUAUUUAUGUUGGUGUAAGAAUAUGCCAGAAGAGUCAGUUUGAACUUCCAAUCCCAAGAAAUAUGUAAGAUGACCAAGAUCGUUCAUAUGAAAAGACUGUCGAAGAUGUUGCUUAAGCUGAGUAAUCAAUAAUGAGUCCUUCCCAGUAAUAACAAUAUCAUCAACAUACACAAAAAGGAGGACAAUUCCAGUAGAGGUCUUUCGAAGGAACAAGGAAGAGUCAUAUUGGCUUUGCACAAGCUUAAAUUGAAGCAAGCUAAAGCGAAACUUCUCAAACCAAGCUCUAGGAGCUUGGUUUAAGCCAUAUAAGGAACAAUUCAAUUUACAAACUUCCAAAGUAGAAAAGCAGGCGUCAUGUAUAUAUCCUCAUUGAGAUCACUAUGGAGAAAAGCAUUUUUGACAUCCAACUGUUGAAGUGGUCAACCCUGUGAAGUAGCAAUAGCAAGAAUUGUACGUAUCGUAGUCAUUUUGGCCACAGGAGCAAAUGUCUCCUCAUAGUUUAUUCCAUACUCUUAUCGAUUACCCAAGGCAACCAGCUUAGCCUUAUAGCGAUCUAGGGUCCCAUCAGAGCGAAGCUUCACUGAAUAAACCCAUUUGCAACCAAUGGGCUUAACAUGAGGUGGGCAUUGAACAAUGUCCCACGUUUGAUUAUCCUGAAGAGCACGAAGUUCCUCGUGCAUUGGCCGCUGCCAACACUCAUGCUUCGCUGUUUGUGAGUAAGAAGAUGGAACCGAAAUGGAGGACAAAGUAGUAGAAAAUGAUGUAUGAUAAGAGUCAUACCGCUGAGGAGGACGAGAGAUUCGGGUAGACCGUCUCGGGGCAGGUGGAGCAGGAGCAAAUGGCGGAGCUGGCUCAGGAAGGGGCUGUAGUACAGGACGCCGUGUGUACACAAAUCCAGGCUUGAACCGUUCAAUACAAGAAGACGUGUCAUCAAAAUUAGGAAGAAUUGCAAUUUCAGGGGAUGAGCUAACAUGAGCGGGAAAGAAAUGUUGAUUUUCGAAGAAAACAACAUUCCGAGAAACACGAAGCCUCUUAGAACAAGGAUCAUAACAAACAAACCCCUUAUGACUAGUGCUAUACCCCAUAAAUGCACAUUUAACAGAUUGAGCAGAAAGCUUAUGGCGUUCGUGAGGAGGCAAAUGUACAAAACAAACAAAGCCAAAGGUAUGCAAAUGUUGAUAAUGAGGAUGUUGAUGAUAAAGACGAAAAUAAGGAGAGUCAAGAUUUAGAGUGCGAGAAGGCAGUCGAUUAAUAAGAUAAACUGCUGUAGAUAAAGCUUCUACCCAAAAAGUAGGUGGAACUGAAGAUUCAAGUAACAAAGUACGAGCCACUUCUAAGAGAUGACGAUUCUUUCGUUCGGCCACACCAUUUUGUUCAGGCGUAUAUGGACAGGAACGUUGGGAGAGAAUACCUUUUUGAUUCAAAAAAUCAUGAAAUGCAUUCGUCAUGUAUUCUCCACCAGAAUCAGAUUGAAGAACCUUAACAACAGCAGAAAAUUGAGUUUCAACGUACAUGAGGAAGGAUUUAAAAACUGAAAAUACUUCGGAUUUAGAACGAAGAAAAUAAAUCCAAGUAAACCAACUAUAGUCAUCAAUAAACGUCACAAAAUAUUUAUACUGAGCAUGAGAAAUAACAGGUGCGAUCCUCCACACAUCACUAUGAAUAAUAUCAAAACAUUUUUUCGCAUGACUACCAGCAAUAGGAAAAGGAAGUAUUUUACUUUUUCCUAACUUACAAGCAGAACAAUCCAAAGAAGUACGAGAAGAACAAAAAUGAUCUUUAUUGCCCAAUAAACCAGAAGUCGACAAAUAAGACAAAAUUUCAGAAUUAGGGCGUCCCAAACGUUUAUGCCACAUUUCACUUUUAUUGAUAAUAGUAGAACAAGCAACAUGUUUAGGAACGGAUAAAUGGAGUGGAAACAAUCGUCCUACUUUAGGCCCCUUCGCGAUCACCGUUCCCAACACCUUAUCCUGCACACAACAACCAUCACGAGAAAAAUGUACAUCAUAGUUAUUUUCUACUAAUUGUCCAACUGAAAGAAGAUUAUUAGAUAGUCCAGGUGAUACAAAAACAUUGUUGAAAGUUGGAGUAAUAUCUCCAACAGCAGUAAUAGGAAUAGUGUUUCCAUUAGCAACAUGUAUAUGUUCUGAACCAUGGUAUAGGCGGACAUUGUUGAGCAAAUUAACUAAGCUAGUCAUAUGAUUUGAUGCUGCAGAAUCAAUAAGCCAAGACUCAGAUGGAGAAUUACCAUUACCGGAAGUCCUAGAGUUGAAAAGGCCGAAAUAAUCAUUUGCUGCACCAUUUCAGGAGUAAGAACUAUUGGUUCAGCAUUGUGAUUGACUGUUGUUGAGGUCCCAAUUGGAAUUUGACCUGUAGAAGGAUUGGUAGUAGAAGCUUGAAACGCAACGACCUGGCGAUUUUGGGGCCGAAUUGAGCAAUCUUUGAUGAUGAGUCUAGGCUUUUUGCAGUAAUUGCAAAAUUUUUUAGUACAAUUUGCAGCAAUAUGAUCAUAAUUCUUGCAACGAAAGCACUGAACCUUACUCAUAUCCCUACCUUUGCCUUUUCCUUGAGCCAAAAAUGCCAUAGGUGUUGUAGUCAACUUUUCUUGUUCAAGAGUGGCUUGAGUGAGAAGACGCUAUUCUUCACGAAGCAAUUCACCAAAACACAUAUCCAAUGAAGGAGGAGGGUGACGACUCAUCAAAUUAGAACGAACAUUCUCAAAAUCUGACCGUAACUUCAUCAAAAACUGGUCACGCUUGCUAACAUCAUAAACAGCCAAUACAUCUUUUUAAGAAUCUUUGGACACGGUAGCACAAACAAUAUCAGAAAAUUCAGCCCAUAAUUUUUGAAAACCAGAAAAGUAAUCCUGAAUAGACAAUCCUCCCUGAGUGUAAUUUGUAAUCUCACACUCCAAUUGAAAUCUUCUAGCUGAAUGUGUUUGAUUGUAAACUUUUUUAAAUAUUCUCACAUGUCUUUAGCAGUUUUAUAUGGACGUAAAUUAAGAAUAAGUUGAGAAUCACAGGACCCAAUAAUCCAAGACGUCACCCUAGCAUCUUUGACUUUCCAUUGAGACAAUUGUGUGGCAUUUAUAGGAGCUGGAACAGUGCCAUCUAUAUGUCCCCAUAACUCCUUUCCAGUGACAAACAAUUGAAAUUGAAAUUCCCAUGUGGCAUAAUUCUUUCCAGUAAACUUAACACAAAAUUUAGGAUUGUUAUCCGCCAUAUCAAAGUAAAGAGAAUAGUUCACACCCAAAUAAAUUCACCAAAUAAAACUAAAAUUUUACCAAAAUCGUGAGCUUCCUUUCCACGCCAAAUCCUGAAAUGAAAAAAAUGCCGCACCCAUCGCACCGUCACAUUGAUUUGUUGCAGAAUCUCUGAUCCAACAGACAGCACCAAGAAAACCAAGAAAACCAAGAGCAAUUUUUAGGACUAGUAUUUCAAAAUUUCUAGAACCAAGGCUCUGAUACCAUGAUAGAAUUUGAUUGAAUGGCUCAAUGCCUCUUUUUUGGUUGUAUUCUUCUUCAAUAAAUAGAUCAAUAUACAACGAUUGUUGGCUGAUUUCACUCAUUUACAGCUAUACAAUCUAACUAUGGAAAUAUAAUACACCAUUGUAUCAUACUAGUUCCAAUUAAUGUUAGUCAACGAUUUCAAACUGAGGCUAAAGUUAAAACGGAAAACGAAACUAAAAUUGAUUCAGGUAGUUCAAACAGGAAGGAUUGUUCAUCUAGAAAGACACUUUAAUUUUAAUACUCCCACUUUAACUUUAGCACCAAUUUGAAGUACCUGAUCCAACUAUUUUAACUCCGGACAGUUAUGCUUUAGUUUUAACUCUAACUCGGAACCUCCGAUUCAUGAAUUUUAACGUUUAUACUCCUGCUUACCUUUAGCACUAGUUUGAAGUACCGACUUAAACAACAAUGGUAUAUAUCGAGUAUAAAUAAAACAUUUCUACCAAACAAAAGUAUNUUGUUAGGAAGGACAAACUUGAUGGACUUAGUUAAAAUCAAAGCAAAAGGCAAAAUUGAAAUCGGAGUCAAACUUUAGCAACUGAUUGUAAUUAACCUUGAUCAUACUAUGUUACCAACUGAACUUAGAAACCAGGAGUACACAAAUAAGCAGAACAUACCUCUUCUUCCUCCUCUUCCACUGGAGGAACCCAAAGUGGCCAGCCACGUGAACGGUUAAUUCUUCUUGCUUUUUGUACUCUCUGAUAAAGUACUUGUCUUGUUCCAUCUGUAGGUAAGUCUUGUGCUUCUAGCUCCUCCUUUAAUUUUGAUACUAUCAUUUUACUGGCAGCUUUUGGUUUCAACACAUUCUGAUCUGGCCCUUUGAUAUCUUUUUCAAGCGCUCCUCUACUCCAAGAACAACGACUUUAGAAGCAUCGCCUAAAAUUGCAAGCCCCUCAUUCCUCAAAGUUUUCAGGAGUUUACGAUGAUUGAUCCUCCAUUCCUCUAAACAGAGCUGUUUGAAAGAUGUUUCCACAGGAUUGGAAUAAGCGAACCCCAGGGCAUCCGGAUCCAAAGGAGUUUUCCCCCUGCGCGGCACCCACCGCUUGCGCUCUCCUGUAAGACCUCCCUCUGCUGUAUACCUAAAAUAUGCCAUAAUACAUACGACGUAAAAGUUGUAAGCAAAAGAAGAGAAGAUAUACCAAAUAUAAAUAUAACAACGGAUAUCUAUGAUGCAACCUUAUUCUCUGAUUAGCAUGAGAAAAGAGUAAUAAGUAACAAUGUGAUGAUGUUCAAACAACUAAAACAUAACAAACUUCAUAAAGACAAGCUCCCUUAUGUUGCAAUUAAAGCCAGACUCUAACAAAGUAAUGCAAGUGCUACAACCAUCUCGGCAAAUUCUACUUGACAACAAUGAUAGGACUUACAUUCCCCUCCAAAUAUGCAAAAUUGCACAAGUGCCAUUGCAUGUUAUUUGCAUGCAUGUUCCUGAAAACCAUUUGUAUUUGCAUUCACAUUCUUGCUAGGGGUAUAUAUUCCAAUACAGACUUUGCCUGCAUACCCCCACAGAGGCACGUGCAUAACGAUAACUAAGUUUUCAGGGGCAGGCAUGCAAUUAUCAACUUUAUAGUGGUAUUUGCACAACUCAUACUUGUAGGGAUAUCUAUCAAAGCAAAAUAAAUAAAUAAAUAAAUAAAUACUAGUAUAGUAACCAUUUCUUUAAAUGCUAACACUUGGAUCUCUUAUAUUAGAGCUGUCUACUGUGUGAACAAUGUUUUCUAUAUAAUCGACCAACAGAAGUAAUAUCUUGCACAAAAACUAGAAUUAGAAGGAAUUAUCAGCAAUUAAACACCAGUGCAGUCUUAAGUACCGACUAUGAGGAAAAAAUAAUAAAAGUUUUGCAAAAAAAUCUUCUGCAGAAAUUAACAGAUUCUAGUUAACCUAUUAUCUACAUGUAUAGUUAAUCAAUACAUAGAUAUUAACAAAGACAAGAACCUUUAGAUGGCUCCCAGAUGUUAUCACAACUUAGGAGCACAACAGCAAUAUAUAUAUAUAGUUGGCUAGAAUACUAUUGAUAGCAAAAGAUCUAUUUUGCUAUCAAGUUUUUAGCUUUUGGAUCAAUUUCUUUCAUCAUUUCUAACCAUUGGAUUAAAUAUUAUAACCCAAUAGGGACCACUCAACCCUAAGGCGACCACUCAAUCCUAAGAGACUAAUAUCAUCCUAACCCUACAAUUUCUCAUUAAAGCAUUAAAAACUUGAUAGUAAAAAAGAUCUUUUACUAUCAAUAGUAUUCCAGCCUAGCUCUAUAUAUAUAAUUCGACUACUACGUUAUUAAUAGCAGGAAGCACUUGGUGCUACCAAAUUUUUCGCCGUUAGAUCUACCCUUUUGAUCAUUUUCACCCAUUAGAUCAUACUAUUCAACCAACCACCCACUCAACCCUAGGGGGCCCACAUCAUCCUAACCGCACAUCUUUUAAUCCAAUGGCCAAAAACUUGGUAGCACCAAUGACUUGGUGCUAUUAAUAGUAUAUUAGCCUAGUUCUAUACACACACACACACACACAUUUCAGUACAAGAUAAAUGAAAACAGCAGCCAUGCAAAAAAAAAAAUUUCAACUUCACCACGGAGAAAAGGAAUCAAGUUAAAUCAGCAUACAAACAAAUUUUCCUGAUAAUAAAGCAAACCUUGCAACAUAAUCAAUUUCAAAUCCAACAUCAGCUUCUUCUUGUAAAGGUUCUAUCCAGGAGCUCACUAGCGUGCGAUAUUUCCUGCUCAACAUCAUUGCUCUUCGUACAAUAUGUUGAUUAUCUUUAGCCAUUGCUUCCAAAGCUUCAAGCAACUCAACAGCUCUUCCUGAUUAUAAAAAUAACCUGCUCAGAGAAGUUCUAAUUCACAACAACACAAACCAUUAACAUAACCCAAAAAGGCAACUUUGACAAAUUAUGAUGGAUCAUUUCACAAAGUAGCAAAUAUUUCUCAAUGAUGCUAUAAAAUUAAUAGGGUUAUUUGCAUACACAUCCCUGCAAACAUAGUGAAUUGCGGAAAUAUCCCUGCAAAAUGAAAACUCCAUAAGUUGUCCCUGCAAAAGUCCUAAGUUAUGCAGAUAUGUCCCUGCCGUCCAGAUCUGUUAGAAAAUUUUCGUUAACCACGGUUAAAAUACUUAACCAUGGUUAAUUAUAGUGUGAAUUGACGUAUUUACCUUUCUUCCUCUUCCUCCUCUUCCUCUUCCUUCUUCUUCGUCGCCGGGGAGGAAAUGCGGCGGCGACGGCGACGACGACGACGGUGGCCAACCCUCUUCCUUUUCCUCUUCCCUCUUCCUCUUUUCUCUUCUUCUUCCUUCUUCCUUCUUCCUCUUCCUCUUCCCUCUUCUUCGUCACCUGCGAGGGAGAAGAACCUCGUCGGGGUCGACCUCGGAAAGGCGGGCAAGUUUCGAGACGAGAAGCUCGAGGGCGUUGUUGUCGACGAGGGUGGCGACGAGGGCGUGCGCGGGGUCGUCGUGGUCGCCGAGGACGUCGGCGUCGGUGAGGUCGGUGAGGAGGGAGACAAAAUCGACGGUGAUGUCAGUGCCGAGGAGGCCGACGAGGGAGGGGACGGCGUUGAGGGCGACGAGCUCCAGGUAGAGCUCUGGUGCCCAGGCGUUCUUCCCUCUUCUUCGUCGCCGGCGAACCCAACCCCGCGCCACCGCCGCCGCCGCCGUCGUCCGCUUCGACGGUCCGAAGAGGAAGAGAAAGAGAAGGGGAAGAGGAAAACUUUUGGAGGGAUAUAUUUGUGAGGGUAAAAUGGUCAUUUUACGAAUCCACUGUUAAAAAAUAAACAGAUCACUAACGGAUGUUAACCGGAGGGACAUAUCUACCUAACUUAGGACUUUUGCAGGGACAACUUAUGGAGUUUCCGUUUUGCAGGGAUAUUUUCGCAAUUCACUAUGUUUGUAGGGACGUGUAUGCAAAUAACCCAAAUUAAUAACAGACUGAUAGUUCUUUGCAUCAAAAGCGUAAGACAUAAAGAAAGGGAUAAGUAAUUUUUCUCGAUGAUCACAAGAACGUUGAGAAGACUUACAAUGAGUUGCAUUUAACAAUCAUCAAAUAUAGCUAUAAAAAUAUUAUAAAGCACCUUCAAUAACUUCAUUUAUUUUAGAUGUACAACUACGUUGCUAGGCGCAACAUCAGAAGCAACUUAUCUACAAUAUAAAGAGAGAGUUGAGCUAGAAGCCUAGAAUACUAUCGAUAUCACCAAGAUCUUCAUACUGUUACUACAUUCUAGGUAGCGCAUUCAAAUCGACAAUUAAAAUUGUUAAACAUGAACAAGAUGAAGUUUCAAGUAACCAAAAUUUACGAUCUUCUAACAUUAUCUUUUAUUGCAUCAGUUGUUCACAAAAUGAACAGUGCGAUAGAAUAUCCUGAUAAAAAUAGAGGAUGAGACUCUUCCACGUAAAGUAAAUUAUGUUGAUCUAGAUUUGGAUAUAACAAAAAAUAAAAAUAUAUAAGAUAUAUAAAAAAGAAGAAACCUAAUUUGUAUUCUUCUAUAAACCUCGCAUCGCUCACCAUAUAAGUAGUGCCUCCACAGGUUCAACGCGAAAAUUACUGCGACUAACUCAAGGUCAUGAAUAGGAUAGCUCUUCUCAUAAUUCUUCAAUUAGCAAGAAGCAUAAGCAAUAAACCGCCCACGCAGCAUUAGAACACACCUUAGACCAUUAUAAGAGGCAUCACUAUAUACCACAAAACUCUCCCCCGGAAUCGGCAAGGCGAGUAUCAGAGUUGAAGUCAAUCUUUCUUUUAUCUCCCGAAAGCUUUUGUCGCACUCAUCACUCCAAACAAACCUCGCUCCUUUGUGCGUGAGGCAUGUUAGUGGAGUAGUAAUUUUAGCAAACCCCUCCACAAACCGCCAAUAAUAACCCGCAAGACCCAGAAAAUUACGGAUCUCUGCAAUAGUCGUCGGGCGAGGCCAAUCUUUAAUUGCUUCCACUUUCCUCGGGUUAACAGAUACUCCACCCUCGAAAACAACAUGGCCUAAGAAAGUGAACUCACAGAGCCGAAAGUCGCACUUCUUUAACUUCGCAUAGAGCUUCUUUUCUCGGAGAAUUUGCAGAACAGUCCUCAAAUGCUCCUUGUGCUCCUCAUCGCUCCUAGAAUAGAUCAGAAGAAUAUGGUGAUAAUAUGCUGAUAAAUGAAUUUAUCAGCAUUAUUGUAUUUAAAUCCAUGGGACAAUAUUAUGGAAUCAAAUUUUCAUGCCAUUGUUUUGGCGCUUGCUUCAAGCCAUAUAACAACUUGAUUAAUUUACAAACUUUCUUUUCAUUUCCAGAUAGCACAAACCCUUCAGGUUGAUCCAUGUAGACUUCUUCAUCUAGUUCACCAUUUAAAAUGUUGUUUUAACAUCCAUUUGAUGUAUAAAAAGAUUAUAAAUUGAAUUGAGUGCUAACAACACUCUAAUGGAUGUCAUCCUAGCCACUGGUGCAAAAGUGUUGAAGUAAUCUAUACCCUCUUUUUUGCUUAUAUCCUUUAGCUACUAAUCUCGCUUUAAACGUUUGCAUAGAUCCAUUCGUAUUAUACCUUUUUCUAAAUACUCAUUUGCAUCCAAUAGAUUUUGAUCAAGGAGGUAAGUCAACUAGAAUCCAAGUAUUAUUAGAUAAUAACGAGUCCAUUUCAUCAUUUACUCCCUCUUUCCGAAAUGCUGCGUCUCUAGAAGUCAUGGCUUCUGUAAAUGUUUUUGGAUCAUCUUCUAUAUUGAAUAGAAUUGGUAUUUUAUUUAGAACAUUUAUUCUACUUCCUUCUACAAAAAAGGAUACAAAAUCAGGAUCUAAACUCUUUUCUUUUCUAACUCUUUGACAACUCCUAGGUUCACUAGAAGUUACUGUCAUUUUUCUUUUAUAGUUAAAAGAUAUACUAGAAUUAGUGCCGGCUACUUCUGCUUGUGUAGAUUCUGAAAUAGAAUUAGAAUCAUUGAUAAAUUUAUUUUUAAAAAUUCAACAUCUUUUGAUUCCACAAUAAUAUUUGAUUCCAAAUCCAGUAAUCUAUAUGCUUUAGAAUUUUCAGCAUAUCCUACAAACACAUUUUAGAGCUCUAGGUCCCAAUUUAUUAUAUCUUUAGGGUCUGGAACUCUAUAAAAGGCUAAACACCCCGAAACUCUGAGAUAAUUUAAGUUUGGACUUCUUCCUUUCCAUAAUUCAUAUGGAGAUAUUUUUGUUUUUCUAGAGGGUAUUCUAUUGUGUACGUGACAGGCUGUAAGUAAUGCUUCACCCUACAAAUUGAAAGACAAUUUUGCAUUUAAAAUCAUAGCAUUAACCAUAUCGACUAAUGUUCUAUUCUUUCUUUCUGCCAAUCCAUUCUGUUGUGGAGUGUAUGGUGCACUAGUUUGAUGAAUAAUACCAUUUUCUUCACAAUAUAUCGAGAAUUCCGUAGAGAGGUAUUCUCCUCCUCUAUCACUUCUCAAAAUCUUAAUUUUCUUUUCCUUUUGAUUUUCAACAAUAGAUUUAUAACAUUUAAACAUUUCUAAAGCUUGACCCUUUUGCUCCAUUAAGUAAAUAUAUGCAUAUCUAGAAUGAUCAUCGAUAAAGGUAAUAAAGUAUCUAUUUCCACCUCUAGUUAAAUGAACAUUUAAUUCACAAAUAUCUGAAUGCACAAGUUCUAAUAGAUCAAUAUUUCUCUCUACUUUAGGAAAAGGUUUUUUAGUCAUUUUAGCUUGAAUGCAUAUUUCACAUUUUUCUUUAUUAUUAUGAUUAUAUGAAAUUAAGCCAUGUUUAGCCAUAAAUUCUAAGAAAUUAUAAUUUAUAUGUGCUAAACGAUUAUGCCACAAAGAAAUAGAACAUUAACAAUAUAAGCAGAAAUAUUAUUAUUUUUAUUAUUGAUACCAAGCUUAAACAUUCCAUUACAAGAGUAUCCCUUUCCUACAAAUACUCCAUUCUUUGACAGGAUCACCUUAUCCGACUCUAGUACAGCUUUUAUCCUUCUUUUACAAAGUAAAUUUGCAUAUCCAAGAUUUUUUACGAUAUCUAGAACAUGGAGUACAUUGAUAAGUAAGAGUUUCUUUCCAGAAGUGAAGAAAAGCUCAACGCUGCCCUUUCCUAGAACUUUUGCAGCACUGUGAUUUCCCAUCAACACUUCGUGACCAUCUGCUGUCUCUUUUUAAUCUUUAAAUUGAGAUUUGUUGUUGCAGACAUGAACAGUAGCACCCGAAUCAUACCACCAAUCCAGCAACUUGCUGUUGCCAUGUGAAGUUCGGUAACCAUGCUUAUAUGCAUGUCAGAAAUCAUUGCAAUAAGUUCUGUGGUUUGUUGUUCAAUCAUGUUGGCCUUAUUAGUGUCUUCCUUCUUAAAUUUCUUCAUGUAUCUAUACUCUCUUUUAUAGUGACCCUUCUUUCCACAGUGAUAACAAAUCCUAUCCUUUUUUAUCUUAAAGUUAUUUGAUUCAGAAAAUUUUCUCUUAUUUCCAGAAAACUUUUGAUUUUUAUUUUCAUCUACUUGAUUUAUUUUAAAGCUAUGUUGAACAUCAUUUUUUAGGUAGCAAUUCCGAGUUUCCUCCUCAAUUCUAAAGUGUUUUUGAAUUUGCUCUAAAGUAAAAUCUUCUGCAGUGUGUAAAAGUUUCACUCUAUAAUCAUUCCAAUUACGAGGCAAUUUCGCAAUAAUAGCCCCUACUUGAAAAGAUUCUGGAAGAGAAAUUUCUAACUCUUUAAGUUUAGAAACCAAAAUUUGUAACCCAUGUAGUUGUUGCAUUAUUGAUAAGUUUUCUACCAUAGUAAAUUCAAAAUAUUUCAUAAUUAAAAACUUAUAUGUGCCUUGCUUUUCAGUAUUGCAUCUUGCUUCUAGAGAGUUCCAUAUUUCUCUUGGUGAUUGGAUUGAUGCAAAUAAGUCAUAUAAAUUAUCUAACAAGUUAUUAAGAAUAUGUCCUCUACACGGUAGUUCAUCCUCCUUGCGUUUUUUACGUGCCACCCUCACUUCAUCAGUAUCUGCAUCAGUCGGUGCAGAAAUAUCAAACAAAUUGGGGUCCAGAAUGUAGGCUAUCUUCAGUGUAGUAAGUAAGAACAUCAUUUUAUCUUUCCAUCGAGUGAAGUUGGCCCCAUCGAAUUGGUUCAGUAUCAUAGAGUCUUGAUUUAUUAUCUUGAAAGUCGCCUCAGUGUUUAUCUCCAUUAAAAUAACACCUUAAAAUUGUUGGGGAAAUAUGAAUGGAGAGGCGUGUAAGUUUACUUUCUUUAAGGUGUUAUUUGCCCCCACUCGAAUGUAUGCUGUCAGGUUACCAACAAAUCACCUCCGGGGUACAACAAGACCGUUGAAGUGUAAAGACUGAGAUUUUGACAGUGCAACUAAACUCUCUGUUGACGAUAUUUAUGUGUGUAAUUUAAUUUCAUAAGCACUCGUCAAGUUUCAGAAGAAAAUGAGCUAGAAUGGAGAAGUUACGCGAUUAUUAGUUUUCACUUAAAGUGAAUAGUAACCCGGUUUUUCGGUGAAGCCACGGAGUAGAGUUGGCUUUCGGCGUGUAUCGGACUCCGUUCUUAGCGAUCCAAUAGCUCGUUUUGAUCGGUUCAGCUAUUUUGGAACCAAUGGCACUGACGGAUUUCAGAUCUGAUGCAUGGUUUCCGAGAAAAAGGAGUUUUAUCAAAAAGAGGGUUUUCGUCCUUUGCUAUUCGUGCAUCGUGAAGCUCCUCGUGCUCUGUGCUCAUGACCGGGGGUCGGGUGAGAGUUGUUUCAAGUACCUACUGCUGGUAGGGAAUUCAAAUUCGAGUUUGAAUUAAAGGAUUUCGGGUUUCCACCUAGGCCUAUGUGUGAUAUGUGGAUUAGUUGGAGAGAGGACGGAUUUUGUCGCAAAUCGGGAAGCAAAUCGGAUGAAACAAAAUCGUAGUUUCAAUGCCCCCGUCGUGCUGAACGCAAUGGCGCUAUCAGAUCGGAAAUCCGACGGACGAAUCACCAGUUAUUGCAUGAUGUUCGGGAAGAGGUCUAUUGCGACAAAUCGGAAACUUAGCAAAAGUCGUAAUAUUUUAUGUACCGAAUCACACGAAAUCAGACGUAGAGAGGCGUACGUGUAAAAUACUCGCACUGUGAAGGACUAAAUUUCUAAUAAUCAGUGUAGAGGGACUUGUGUGCAAAGUUGACAUUCAUAUAUGGAGUUCCUAGGGUUUCAUUAUGGGAAAACCCUAACCUGGGUUCACCUUCUCCCUCAGCCAACCUCCCUGCAACCCUCUGAACCUUCCCCUUCCUAGCUGCCCGCACUCCGGCUGCCGGCAAGCACCUCCGGCCACCGGAGUAGGCCUUCGAAUGCUCUCCUCUCCAUCGGGUUCCACAACUUAGGCCGUGGAUCCUAGGAAAGCAUCCAUUUGCGUCGAAUCAGAGUUCGCCGGCCGAGGCUUCCCCUCCGGCGACAUCCCCGCCGGCCCCGCCGUCCACGCGCGUCGCCGGCGCCGCCAGGACGCGCUGCUGACGCCCAGACCCGGAGCGGGCCGAGCCGGGGCGACCUUUGCCUCCAAGGGCCGCCGCCGCUAGGGAACUCAUAGGCGACCUCCCUCGUGACCGCUGGCACCUCCGCGUCCGGCCAGAGUGGCCGCUGCCGCCGCUCCUACUGUUUGCGGCCAGCCCGAGCAAGAUCUGGCCGUGGGUGACCAGAUCUCUCUCCCCCGCGUCGCCGCUGUCCAGGAUCGGCCGGGCCUCCUCCCACCGGCCUCCGACGACCGCUCGCCGUCGCCCGGAGCUCCCCUCAGCCGUUCCCGUGGCCCUCGGCCGCCGCUCCCUCUCCCUGCGGCCGCGCAGGGUCUGUGCAGGCCGAGCCACACCCAGCACCGCCACCGCCGCCUUCCGCAGCCGACCAGCGUGAGCACCGACUCCGCCUGGCCGGCCACACCCGUCAACCGCCGAAGACGCUGCCGCCGGAGCUCCCCGUCGGCCGGAGCGAGCCCGUGUUCUCUUCGGGUUUGGGUGCCUAAGGCAUCAUUGGCCGUCGUCGCCGCCGCCUCCCGUCGCCUGCUGACGCCAUCCCCGGCCACCUCGGACAUGCCGCACCUACCCCUAGCCGGCCUUCCCGCCGUCCUGCCGCCGCCGGCCACCCCGUGCCCUACCUAGCUCUGUAAGCCUAUUUUCAGCCUGUCUGCGCACUAGUUUCCUGUUUGGAUCACUGUUCUGACGACUCGGGGCUGUUCCGAUGCCUCCGGAGGUGAGCACGGUGAUCGUCAGUCAGUUAUGAUCACAAUGACCACCUCACUUAGGGUCAGCGAGCUCCGGAUGAGUUAAUUAGAUGUGUUUUAGUUUCAGUGCGCGCUAUUUUGUUGAACCUCGUGUCGCUCGUACGCGUCCCACAGUGGCCGAAAUGGCUCCAAAAGGUGAGCAUGGCCUCCGGUACGCCGAGACCUGUCAGCGGGUGUCUCGGUUUGGCUGAUUGACUUCUAGGUUGUGUAGAUGGACCAUAAAAGCACCGAAAUCACAUAAAAUAAUGUGAUUUUGGGUAAUCGAGUGGGCUUUUAUGCAUUUUGGUUCGUCGUGGCUGCUCUUGGCAGCAUGUGCGGGUAGUGGGUAACCUUUGGACUGAUUGCCCAAGGCCCCAAGCCUUUGCGGAAAUCAAAAAGUGAUUUUCGGAGCGUUUCCUGGCGAAAUCCGCCGACGGAACGCGGGUUCGGUUCGGAAUUAUUCCGAUGGUGCUUCCUGAGCUAUUGUGUAGUCGCCGAGCCUUGUUGGCUGGUCACUCACGUCAUUUUGAGAGUUCAGAAAUGACGAAUGAGCAACGGUGGGUUCCGGUGUCGAAAUUGACACUUCCGGGAACCCGGAUCCGAACAAUUAUCCGACAAUAAUUGUUUGUUUAUAUAAUAUUGUUUUUGCUGCCAAAUCACACUAAAAUAGGUGUUUUGUGGCAGCAGGUGACUCGUAGCUCGAGUCGGUAUGUUCCGGGACAGUUCGUGGGUCCCGGCGGAGUCCCCGUACAAUUACGGGACUUCCGGCGUAUUACGGUGAUCGGUUUGGGAAACCGAUCUCCGUGGGUUUGUUCGUGGGUUGUGGAUUUAGUGGUUAUUAGUUGUGGGUUAGACAGUGACCCGGUGGACCUUCCUUAGGUCCAGUUGACAUUCUUUCGCAGUCAGGAGGCAGGCGCGACGUCCUUAUAGGUGGGUACUUCGAUCCGACGUCGGUAUAGUGGUGCACGCUUGGUGAUGGUUUCUUACCCUUACUCUUCUAUUAUUACAAUUGCAUAGUAUAUAGUGAGUCUUGCACCUAUGUUAUACCAUUAUACUCUGCUCGUUGUUUACACGCUUAGUAUCCUGAGUAGGAGUAGAGUAGUUUGUCUGUAUAUGAUACUAUGUUUCCAUAUUGCUCUACUUGCCUGUUUUACAUAUCAUGUAUUCUGUCUAGAGUAGAGCGGUUUCGUGACUAUCUGUGAGAUGGUGACCUAGUCGGUCAGUGCAUUAUAUCUAUACUUGUGACAUGAUUGGUCGAGUUUCAUAUCCUAUACUUGUGACAUGAUUGGUCGAGUUUCAUAUCCUAUACUUGUGAUACGAUUGGUCGAGUUUCAUAUCCUAUACUUGUGACAUGAUUGGUCGAGUUUCAUAUCCUAUACUUGUGACAUGGUUGGUCGAGUUCAUAUCCUAUACUUGUGACCUGGUUGGUUGAUUUGGUUACAUGAUGACCCAUAUGGUCAGUGUGCCCUGAGUGGGCAGGAUUGUCGGCUGGUUGCCGACAGUUGGCUAUUGAGCAUUCUGCAUCGAUCGCCACUGCUCGCACGCAUUUCACGAACACCAGCGGUCUGAUCCACCGCAAGAGGGUGUUCUUUUCCGGAAAAGUGGUUGCUUGUGUCAACCCGUGAGCCCUAGUGUGGUUAUAUGCUUACAGCCUGAGGUGUUGGGUACCAAUAUGACUUGUUUCUGUUUAGAGCAGAUGUGGCAUGGGCCUGAGGUGUUGGGUACCAAUACGGCCAGUACAGAUUGGGUAUAUUUGGUCUAUACGUUCGGUUGACGCAUAUGUCUAUAGUAGCAGUUGUUGUAUGCAUACUUACAAUUCUUUCUAUAUAUUUGUCUUGCUACUAUAGUUUGAUACCCAGGUAUGCUUUAUAUUCUUCGUUACAGUAGCAGUAGUCGUUCUUAUACAUUAUGUUCAUGUAUUAUUGUUGCUACUGUAUUUAGUAUAUCUGCCCUUGUUGUUAGUUAUCUCUUCCUGAUCCGGUGAGUACUCCUCGCCUUCUUCGGCUUGCGGUACCCACUGGGAGGGGAGACAUGUUUACAUGUUCUCACCUCCCCCACCAUUUUUCAGGUAUCGUGGGCGAUGAGUAGUGGGACGAGACGUGAGGUACGCGUGUAGCGGUCGAUAGAGCUUUCGACCCGGGUUAAUUCGGUUUACUUUCUUACCCUUCUUAUUUUGGCUGAUGAAUAGUUUAGUUGGUUUAUGUGGUUCAGUGUUUAUUUACAUUUGAAAAUGUGGAUUUCUGGAUUUUGUAAAAUAAAAGGUUUUCUACCCCUCGUGGUAGCGUUUUUAAAAGAAUAAAGGAUUCUGUGUAGGAAACAGCUUUCAAAAGAUUUUUGUGGAUUUCUGAUUAAACCUUGAAUGUAAAACUGUGAUGUGAAUGGUGAUUGUAUGAAUGUAUAGUUAUCCUUAUAUUCAUCUGGUUGUGGUUGUAUCCUGGUUGUUUUGUGUAUUUGAUCGACGCCGUGCAAAUACAGGGGAGACUCUGUCCGUGUGAAUAGUGGAUUCCCUGUAUUUGUGGCGGAUCUGGCAUACCCUGGGGUCAGGUUUUCAAAAAAAAAAUUCAGACGCUUUUCCGCUUUGUUUUAAACUGAAAAGGGACCCCGGGGCGUGACAGAUUAAAGUGGUAUCAGAGCGAGGUUACAACCACAACACCAUUCACAGGUUAUUUUUGAAAAGUAAAUGAAACUGAACCAUUGGUUAGGUUGACCAAUAGGAAGACCACGGUGUAUAGGCACGUGAGUGCGGGGUUUGGACUUGUGUCCUGGGUUGCAUUCGAGUUUGGUAAAUUCGAAGUGCAUGGUGUUUCUGUACGUGUUACGGUUCGCACAAGCUGGUGUCUAUGUUGGGAGUAGUGGCGGUGUACUUUUUUGGACAUCGAGUGGUGGGACGGUAUUCCCCAGGUGUUGCCACUCCUGUCAGGUGAAGCCUUGAAAGGCCAGUGACUUACGGGUCUAGGCGAGUGUCAUAACUGCCGACGCCCAGGCCAGUCUCUNGUGACAUGAUUGGUCGAGUUUCAUAUCCUAUACUUGUGACAUGGUUGGUCGAGUUCAUAUCCUAUACUUGUGACCUGGUUGGUUGAUUUGGUUACAUGAUGACCCAUAUGGUCAGUGUGCCCUGAGUGGGCAGGAUUGUCGGCUGGUUGCCGACAGUUGGCUAUUGAGCAUUCUGCAUCGAUCGCCACUGCUCGCACGCAUUUCACGAACACCAGCGGUCUGAUCCACCGCAAGAGGGUGUUCUUUUCCGGAAAAGUGGUUGCUUGUGUCAACCCGUGAGCCCUAGUGUGGUUAUAUGCUUACAGCCUGAGGUGUUGGGUACCAAUAUGACUUGUUUCUGUUUAGAGCAGAUGUGGCAUGGGCCUGAGGUGUUGGGUACCAAUACGGCCAGUACAGAUUGGGUAUAUUUGGUCUAUACGUUCGGUUGACGCAUAUGUCUAUAGUAGCAGUUGUUGUAUGCAUACUUACAAUUCUUUCUAUAUAUUUGUCUUGCUACUAUAGUUUGAUACCCAGGUAUGCUUUAUAUUCUUCGUUACAGUAGCAGUAGUCGUUCUUAUACAUUAUGUUCAUGUAUUAUUGUUGCUACUGUAUUUAGUAUAUCUGCCCUUGUUGUUAGUUAUCUCUUCCUGAUCCGGUGAGUACUCCUCGCCUUCUUCGGCUUGCGGUACCCACUGGGAGGGGAGACAUGUUUACAUGUUCUCACCUCCCCCACCAUUUUUCAGGUAUUGCAGGAGAUGAGUAUUGGGAUGAGAUGUAAGGUACGUUCGUAGCGGUCGAUAGAGCUUCCGACCCAGGUUAUUCGGUUUAGUUUCUACCCUUACUAUUCUGUUGAUAUAGCUUAGAUAGUUAAAUGGUUCAGUAUUUUUAUUAUAUUUGAAUAUGUGGAUUUUCAUGAAUGUAAUAAAAGGAUUUUUGAAUUUCGUAAAAUGGAAAGCUUUUCUACCCCUCGUGGUAGCGUUUUUAAAUAUAAAAGUUUCUGUGUAAGGAACAGUUUUCAAAAGAUUUUCUGUGGAAUUAUGUUUAGACAUCGAAUGCAAAUCUGUGAUGUGAAUGAUGAAUCUAUGAAUGUAUAGUUAUCUCUAUAUUCGUUUAGUUGUGGUUGUAUCCUGUUUGUACUGUUGUACUUGUGCGACGCCGUGCAAAUACAGGGGAGACUCUGUCCGUGUGAACAGUGGAUUUCCUGUAUUUGUGGCGGAUCUGGCAUUCCCUGGGGUUAGGUUUUUAAAAAAAAAAAUUUCAAACGCUUUUCCGCUAUGUUUUAAACUAAAAGAACCCCGGGGCGUGACAUGAAGACUGCAAACAGCACUUUUGAAGACUUUCCCUUAAGAACUUCUCUCUUAAGCAUCAAUAUGAAAAAUUAAGAAGGAGAAAGGAUUGAAUAUGUUUCCCUUGAAGCCUUCAAACAUCUCCUAUUUAUAGGAGGUGAAUGGUUACGAUGAAAGGACACAACUUUUAAAGUUAUAUCCUUUCACAAAAGGACACGUCCUUUCACAAAUAAAGAAAAGACAUACUCUUUCACAAAAGGUUCAUAUCUCUUCGUGAAAAAACAUAUCUCUUCGUGAAAAGACAGAUCUUUUAUGAAGAGACGAAUCCUUUCAUAAGAAUAACUACUUUAUGAACAGACGCAACUAUUCACCAAUCUCACUUCCGCUAUUACAAUCUACACUAACAGGUUUUACAUAUAGGCCCCCCUAACAAUUACAACUCACAGUUUAGUCCAGUUCAGAGUCUGAUACUUUUCGCCGGGACUCUUCUGAAUGUCCGUUUGCGUUCAAAUUUGAUGGUCAAACUCGGUUAAAAUCAAGAAGAAGAACAUGAUCUUAACUUUUCAGUUUUGAACUAUAUUUUGUCAGCAAAAAGUCUACCGACUAGAAUCGCUAGCAGAUAGCAGUCAGAUUUUGUUUUUCACUUUCCGGGUGUCGGAAUAAUAUGAAAUUUUAAAUCUAACCUCAGAAAAAUAAUUCCGACAUAUUCUCAAAUCUUUAUAAUUUUCUAACACUGUAAAUUUUCUGUUAAAAGAUUAGCCCCCAUUUCUUACAAAAAAUUCUAAAUUUUCUGUUUCCAUUCUAAUUUUAGCACAAGUCAUUUUCGACUUAUAUUUUACUUCUUUAAGUCCAAUAAAAAUAGUAUCUUACACUAUUUUUAUUUACAUUUACUUUCAUAUUAAAAAUCCGGUACAUUACAACUAAUCUUGCAGAUUCUAGCGCGAGCGAGGCGGUCGAGGAUCGCGGCAAGGGCAUCGCGCCCUGGGUAGUGGGCUUCCCCGAGUUUAGUUUAUACCCAGUUUACUUUCAUCUUUUGUAUACGAUGAAAAGUGUAAUGUAAAUGAAAGAUGAUGUAUGUAUUUAAAGGACGUAAUGUAAAUUGGUAAAUGAAUGUAAUAAAGUAUCAAACUUUGUAUUUUGUUUAGAGUUUGCAAGAUACAAUGAAUAUAUGCAUAGUUAGUUUACUUUCACUUGUGCUUGUUGCUUGCCCUCGUGCAAGCCAUAUAUAAUGAAAUUAAUCAUGGGCUAAUUCUUUAUCCAUGAUAGUUGUUGUUCUUGUUGAGCCUUGGGCGGACAGGAAAGGUUCUGUUCAUUCGGCGUCUAUUGGACGUGCCCGAACCAACGAAAUUGGCGGUCGUGGGGCUUUGACACUAUAGCCCAUAUUAUAUGUUGAUAUGAUAUUAGUAUAUCAUUCCUGUUUUUCUUACGAAACGACGACUAGGACUAGAACGUUCUUAUUAUUACAUAAGAAUAUGUAACAUUAAGAAUAUAUAUGUCAUACACCUUACUGGGAUUGUAGUUUAAUUGGUCAAAGCAUCGCCCUGUCAAGACGGAAGCUGCGGGUUCCAGCCCCGUCAAUCCUGAACUACGAUCCAGUGAAUUCAUCAAUUCAUCUCUCUCUUUCACGGAAGAGGGUACAGGAAGCAAGAUCUAAUCCCCAGCUGGGAUCCUUAUUGCUUUUGUUUUUUUAUUUCACAUUUAUCAUCACACAAACACUGAUACGGAAAUUUCAAAUCUUUUCACUACUCUCGAUUGAUAAAGGAGAGACAUAUCAAAUGUACAUUAGUACAAUCGGUGGUAUUACUAUAUUCAAUAUUUUAAGAGAUACCAUCCUAUUGUCACUUUCUUUUUCGAUUGUUCUUGAUCUAUGAAAUGGAGUAGAGUGAUCCUAUUUUACCAGGAGUACAUACACAAAUUGUAUUCGUUUAUUGUAUGAUGGACAAUGAACCCAACAUAAUUACCUCGAUAGAGUACUUUUCCCGUUAAACCACACCUUUUCUAGCUUUGACUUUGUUUGUGUAUUCUCAAUGACUAAUUGUAAAUAACCUAUUUUAUUCUCAUUCAAAUUGCAGACAUCAUUUUUGAUGUAUGCGUUCCAGUACAAAUAAAUACAAGAAAGAGGAUACUAAUAAAAUAAAAGAAAAGACCAACCCUUUUCAGAAAGAGUCAAUUUCUUUUUUAUCAUAAAGUUUCUCUUUCUGAUCUUUCUAAGGAUCUAGUUCAUGAUACUUAAUUAAGUAAAGUAUCAUGAAAAGCAAACAAAAAAGUUUAGCUCUUUUUUCUUAUUAGAAGAUUGAUUAUCCGCUUUUGGCAGCAAAAUAAUUAUUGGUUACUAGUAAUUCGUGUCGCUCUCAAAUGUUUUUUCAAAAUGUAAUGACUAGAAGAGCGACUGAUAAUAAUGAUCCGCAUAAAAGAGCUGCAUAGCUCAAUAACAUCAUACUCAUGUGCAUCAUUAUCCACUGAAAUUGUAGAGCAAGUACUAAUAUUGCAUAUUGAUACAUUUCAAUUGAAAGACCCAACAUGACAAAACGUUGAGUAGAAAUGGUACUUGGUACAAUUGUUGUGCCUAAAUUAUUUUGAAGGUCACGUAUCUUAGGAAUCAUAUGAAUAAUGAAGAAACUGCAUGAAAGGAAGAUUAAUGACUCGUAUAAAUUACUUAAUGGAAAAUGUCCCGAAGAAAUCCAACGAGAAACUAAUAAUCCUGUUAUAGAGAAAAAAGUAGCUAUCAUCCCUUUUUUGACCAACCACAUAAUCCUACAAUUUUGUGGACUAAUAAGGUCAUCAUAUGAAUCGUACUCACAAUUGAAAUGAUCAAAAAAGAGAUAUGAGUUAAUAUAUAUUAUAUGGACACGAGAACACCAAAUUGACGUCAACACAAGAAACCACACUAAGACUCGGCACAAGUUGCCAAAAAAGCACUUUUUAUUUCGUUAUAAUAAAAAUAAUAUGCCUAUAUACAAAAGAAUUGCUCAAAUCUCGGAAGGGAAUGAGCAUCACACUUUUAUCGUGAACCAAAACUGUUUUUGUAAUUUAUAUAGGACAUUAGCAUGCUAAAAUAUGUAAAGAACGAGUAGUAUUCUGAUCAAGUCAACCAGCUGCCAUUCAAUUAGAGUACAACUUCCAAACUUUCAGCUCGCCGGCUCCAUCUCCAGUAAAAAAGAGACCACCAGGGCCGAUCUCUAAAAUCCUCACUUCCUCCUUGGAAAAAAUCCUCCCUCUUUCAUUGAAUCUGAGAAAUAUAGUGUACACAGUAAAAAACAGGGAAACAACAAUUCAUUGGAUAAUCCAAUGCAAGAAUAAGAUAAUUUAGUUAUACGACACACUUACGAUGGUAGGUCGUAGACACGCACAACAUUGUCGUUGCAUGAGCACAUGAGCACCGGACUGGCUUUAGCAUCAUUCAUUCCGUGCAGCACAAGCACUCCCUGCAACAACCAACAAUAGAUGACAUCAAUGAAAGUAUGGUUAGGCAGAGCUUAAGGACAUAGCUUGCAUGAGAGCGCGUCAUAUAAUAUCAUCAGUUCAACACUGUAAUUAUAUGGUUCCAUCAAGUAAAAUAAGCAAAAUAACCACUUGAGUCAUAGAUUAAAUGGAAAUCUCCACCAGUAUAACACCAGGAAAUUGGUCUAAGCACACUAUCUACAUUACAAAAUAUACAUUAUUGAAGAAAAGAUCCAAAGUAAAAGAGCAAUUUGCUAGCUGAAUAAGGCCACAAAGCAAUACCAAAAUGAUUGAUGUCAGUAUACAGUAAUAAGAUAAAGUUCCAAUCUAAGAGCAACAUGCAAAGUUGUCAUCAAAGAGCACAAGACAAUCACAAAAAUUAGGAAAUACAAAUUUAGCAUUUGUGGUCUUGUAAUUGAAGAGGCCAAGAAAGACGAACAAGAUUCAGAAUUUUUUAGGACACCACAUGCGAAAAGUAACCACUAGAAUUAUAAGCAGCCUGCUGAAAAGCAAGACUACUUAUACUUAUAGGUAGGCUAAGCAAAGCUCUUACAUGCUCUUCCUUGUGGGUAUACUCUACUUCUAUCCCAUUUUUUUCUGUAGCUGCCCAGACCUGCAAAAGAACAAGCAGUGAGAACACACAUUAAAAAGGGUAAUUCAAAUGAGAUGUGUUCAAAGUACAAAAAAAUCGUACCUUCACCGUUCCAUCCAAGGAACAAGAGAACAGAAACUGAUCCCAGCAUAACAGUGACAUAACAACCGAUUCAUGGCCUGUAAGGGUGUGCGUGCACUGGAAAGUUGCAAGGUCCCAAACCUGAAAGAAAAUCCUAAAAGUUAGAUCAUCUCAAUUCGUUUGAUAAUAGUAAAACAAAGAACUCAAAAUAUAGACUAAAAACCCACAUUCUAUGUAAAUGCUACAAUUUACAAGAGAUCCAGAAUCUAAGGCCCAGAUGAAAUAAACUAGUGGGAAUUUUUCACACAUCUUUGCAGUCAAGAAUUAUCAAAAAAACUCAAUAUUUAUAAUGUUAGUCCUGUCUCACACUUGCAUAGAGCUUCAAUUGAUUAUAUAAUGUGAAAUUCAACUCUAGUGAAGCCUUGGAUGCUAGCUUUGUAGAUGAAAAAGUUUUAACAGGACAACCUACAUAAAAAAACUUUCCUCUUGUGCCAAGCAAUCUAAGGCACAUUCUAUGUAAAUGCUACCAUUUACAAAAGAUCCAGAAUCUAAGGCACAUAUAAAAUAAACUAGUGAGAAUUUUCGGAGAUCUUUCCAGUCAAGAACUUACUAAAACCUUAAUAUUUAUAAUGUUAGUCCUAUCUACACUUGUAGAGAGCUUCAAUUGAUUAUAGACUAGAAAAUUCAAAUCUGGUGAAGCCUUGGAUGUUAGCGUUGUUGAUAAAAGAGUUUAACCGAACAAUAUACAAAAAAACUUUCCUCGUGCCAAGCAAUCCAAUCUUAAAACAGCUGAUAUUAUAGGAGCUUACAAAGUUGUGAAAUUUAGUACUGGAUCUGGAUGUGAAGAGUCGAAUCAACAGAAACCAUUUCCCAAACAUCAAUUGGUCAUAAAAUGAUUCUAUACAUAGACAAGUCUUGACGACCAAGAAAAAUAUCAACCAAGACCUAUUAUUUGAAAGGUAAAAAAAGGCUGAUGACUGAAUUAAUUUCAAGAUUUGAAGAUCUGAAACAUGUCACUCUAGAUGUGUUAUUUACCUACAUAUGAAAUCGACAGCAUAUAAACUAAAUAAGAUAAAUGUAUUGCAAGUUGAAACGAAUUCGCACACAUGAUUCAUAGGGCCAUUAAGGAAUAUCAGAAGGUAAAUACUGCUUCAGCAUAAAAGGAUAUAAUUAUUCAUGAUCAAUUCUAUUCAGCAUAACUUCCUAGGAUUUUUUAAGCACAUACGCAAGCAAGCAUCUUUUGGUUUGGAGGAUUGAUGGGAUUAUUCUGACUUACCCUAAUUGUACAGUCCAUUGAACCAGAGUAGAGCCGGUGUGCUCCUACAAUGAAUGAGAAUACAGCUUUUUUAUGCCCACGAAGUGUGGCAGCUGGCUUAAAGCAGCACUUAUCUGAUUAGGCUUCCAAGCCCAAAUACUUCCAUCCUGCAGCAACAUAACACAAUUCACAGAAAUUUUGAAUUAGAUUUAUACUCCAUCACAUAGAAACAUCAUUGUGCCCAAAAAAAAAAAAGGAAAAAGGAAAAAAAAAGGCCAAACAAAGCGACAGGUUUGUAAGCAUAACCAAUUAUAAGAUUGUAAAGAAAAUUACCUCUGUCCCAGCAAAGAGUGUGUUGUUGCCUACUAUCAAGGCAUAGACCUGACCCUUGGGUCCUUCAAGGGUUACAUCAAUGGAUGCUUGCAAGUUCCAAGCCUGCGCAUUUGCAAAAAGAUAGAUAUAACUAAAAUAAAUCAUAGAGGACAAAUUUUCUUGAUCAUGCGCGUUUAACAGAUUUACAAGUAAAAGAAUCUACAACUCUCACCUUAAAAGCAUUAGGGACCCCAACAAGAACCCCUGCCCCUCACUGAUGAUGCAACCGACUUCACCUUCCAUGGUAACAACUUGGACACACUGCAGAAAACAGAUUAUCUAUUCAUCAAAGGGAACAACAAAAUCUCAGUUGGUCAGAGAUAGGACUGUCAAAAACCAAAAGCUAACCUGUCUUGUCCAACAGUCCCAGAUUUUGACAGUCUUGUCGUUGCUCCCAGAAAACAGCUUCCCAUACCCAGACACCAUUGUAAUACCUGUAACAGCCUGCAAAAAUUAGCUUAUCAGAUACAACAACAACAACGAGAAAGAAAGAAAGCAGCAGAACUGAGGAAUUUCUAAGAUUGAAGCCAUUGAAUGUUACCUUGCUGUGUCCCCCAAGACAGGCCAACAAGGAGAAGCUAUCACUAAUACACCAAGAAUGUUUGUCCCGGCAACUCUCACCAUUGCUACAAUUCCCAGAGAUGAAGUUUUUGCAGAUCACUUCUCUAGUGUUGCCACAUAGACGAGCUUCUCCCUCAUUAAUUUCCUUAGAAUCCUUAUUGGUAGCCACAGCGGGGGCCUUUGCAUUGCUCCCAAGGUUGCUAUCACAGACAUCCUCCACAGAACAACCAUAGUGAUUCAGGGGCACAGCUUGGGGCUUCGCAUUGCAUUGUUGAUUUAUCUUGCAGAUUCCUUUUGAAGAAGGGACGUUUGGUUUACUGUUGGCAUUAGGUUUUAUUUCCCCAGAACCACCCUUUCUGGUGGCCACAGUACAGGUCUUCCCAUUUACUUCUACAUUCCUAUCGCAGGCUACCUUCGGAGUAGAAACAGAACGAUCCACGGCCACAGCGGGGCACUUCAUCAUGCAGACUCUUUUCGGGGAGGGGGCAGAGGGUUUAGGGCCUGCACUAGGGUUUCUCCAGACACGGCCCGUACCCUGGUGGCUCUUCUCGACAGGAGGCACCAAAUGAUCAGGCCCGACAGAGUGCUUCCGCAUAGACCCGACAUUUGGAUGCUGGGGCACUCCGUGAAGGAAAGGGCACGGGUGGCGGGUGCAGCGCCCGGCCUUCCAGUAGAAGCAGACCUUGAUGGUGCUGGAACCAUUAGUCAACGGUACCGUCCCUCAGGCGCUUUUCUUGAAUCCGUAGCGCUUAGCUUCUAUAGAUCCAUCCGAAUAAUAAAAGAAGACGACCAUCAGAAUCAGCCGAAACAUAUGAUCCAAAACCCUCAUCUUGAGCCUUCUUCCAGGUUGUAGACAGGGCGUACGCGAAGAAGAUCAUCAAAAUCAGACGAAAUAAAAAAAAAAAUCAAAACCCUAACGUUCCAACAUCCUCUCGGUAAAGACGAAACCCUUGGCUUCAAGCUUCUUCUGGGAUGUAGAAAAGGCAGUUACGAAGAAGAUCACCAAAACUAUAGAUCCAAAACCCGAAUCUUGCAACUUCGUCUAGGUAGAAACGAAACAUAAUUCCCAAAACCCUUGGCUUUAACCUUCUUCUGGAUGUAGGAAAUGCGGAUAAGAAGAAGAUCACCAAAAUCAGACGAAACAUCGAUCAAAAAACCUAAUCUUGCAACUUUCUCUAGGUAGAAACGAAACAUAAUUCCAAAAACCCUAAGUUUGGACCUUCUUCUGGGAAAUGCGUAGGGCGAAGACGAAGAAGAUGAUCAAAAUGAGAUAAAACAUAAAUCCAAAACCAUAGUUUUCCAACAUCUCCUUGGAUACGAGACAGUGUGGCCCCGAUUUGCAAAUCCGUAGAAGUUAAAGAGCAAGAAUCGAUUCCAGAAAAAAUUCUAACUCUGCAACUUCGGGGCAUUCGAAUUUCAAACCCUAAAUUUGGCGACUUGUGCGGAGAAGGAGAAAGGCGAAGAAGAACGAGAGAUCGCCGCGGGUUCAAACCUGAGCGCUCCGAGGGAUUCACCAUAGCCAUGGUCGCCAUGCGAGGAGCUCUCAAGCGCUUUCUCUCUCUAUCGAUUAGGGUGUGUUUGGAUCCUUUUAAAACUACCCUGAAAAUUUUUGACGUUUGGUGGUUACUCGUAAAAAUUACAAAUUCGACGGAAAGGAGACGAGAGCGGAACACGAAAGCAUAAAACGCGGCGUUUGGGGGAGUUUCAUCACGCGGUCCACGAGGUUCACUCCACCUCGUGGACCGCGUGAGAGAGGUCCACGAUGGAUCUCUGUGUGGUCCUCUCUCCUCUUCUAUUAUGUGUGUGUACAUACAUAUUGUAAUGCAAAUACACAUACCAAAAAUUUUAAAAUUUGAAUCAAAAUUUGAAUGAAAAUUUUAAUACCUUUUAAUUUAAGAUACAUAUUUAAAUUUUGAGUUCCUCUGAAUUCGAUAAAAAUACAAAAAUAUUCAAUGUAAAAAAUUAUUCAAUAUAAAAAUAAAUUAAAACUUUGAAUUUAAGAUGAAAUAAAAGUUUAAAAUCAAAUAAAGAUUAAAAAAAUAAAUCUAUUUUUCUUAUUAGAAAAUAUCUAUCAUGUCCUACCUCAAAUUUCAAUGAUUGCUGUCGACUAUAUAUAUAAUUAUAAUUAUAAUUAUAUAGUUCUACUAUUUUUUAAUAUACAUUUAAUAUUUUUGUAUAUUAUUUGAAUUCUGACGUACCAAUUUGUCCGAACUUAAAAAAAAUUAAGUAUAUGUUUUAAACUAAAAGUACCGAAAAUUCUAAUUCAUAUUUAAUUUAAAAUUUAUUUUUUAUCCACUUUACUUAAAAUUUCUUAAUUGUUAAUUUAAAUUUGAUAUCCCAAAAAAAAAAAAAUGUAAUCCACAAUUUAAACUCAGAAUUUUAAUUUUAACUUAAAAAUUUUAUAAAUUCAAAUAUAAAUCUUAUAACUAAAUUUGUUUGUGCAAGAAAAAAGAGAAAUAAAAAAUUUUAUUUUCGCCAAAAAGUGGGUCUAUCAAUAGACCCAAAUUCAAAAUAUGCAAUCAUAUUUACUAAUUAAUUUAGAUUUAAACAUAAAAUUUAUAUAAAAUAAAAUCUAAAUUUGUAUUUUAAAUUUAAAUAGUCAAUGGUAGCAUGAGUCUAUUUUUCAAAUAAUAUAUUUUCUAAAUUUGAUUAGUUUCCAUUUAUUUUUAGUUUGUUAAUUAUGAUUAUUCAUUUAUGUUUAAAAUAUGUAGGAAAUAUUCUUUUUGUAGUAUCCCUGGUGUUUUGCAGCCGUGAGAUUUCAGCAUCUGAGGCUUGUCGACACAUCUGGAGAGUGUCAAAACAAGUUCGAGUCGUUUUGACGUGAAAUGGACCCAAAAGGGACUCAGUGUGACGCGAGAGCAGGAUUUUAGCACUGAAAUCUGCAAAUUGCAUGUUUUCAGCAUUGCGUACCGGUACCACACAGGGGCAUACCGGUACCCCAACGUAUUCUACGAACUGCUGCUCUCGGGUUGCAAAAUCUGAUGCUGGGUAUCGGUACGGCAUCGGCCUGGUACCGGUACUCCAUGGUAGUAGGUGAGGGGCCUUUUGGUCUUUUGAUGCCUCGUUGUUAUCACCUUCUCCUCCACCGCUUAUAUAGAAUAGAGAGGCUGAGAGGGAGAGUUUUGUUUGCUAUUUCUUCUCUCUCUCUAAGGUGGAGCCGUACGCAUGGUGGAGGCCACGGCUUGAGCUCGGUUCGACGUCGACUUUGCGCCGAGGAGCCGUUUGAGCACGCGAGCGUCGUAGUUGCAUCGUUAGGAGGCCGGGCGAGCGCAUGGUUCCUUUCUGUCGACUUCUCGCCGGAGUUGGAUUAGCUCUUUGAGGUGGGUUGAAAUUUACCAAAAUCGUCGGUUUUCCUCCUAAGCCGGAGUUGACAGCAUGUAUUUUUGUUUCGGAUAUCAUGUUUAGUAGCUCGAUUCGUCGAUUUGCAUUAUUCUUAAAUGAAAUCUGAAUUGGAGCUUUGAAUGCUAGUUUUAUUAUAUAUGUUGCACUUGGAUUUGACUUAAGAGAAAACUAUAAGUUCUACACUAUCAUUUUCUGAAAACUAACAGAUUUAGCUUUAGGAGCUGUAAUUAGUUUGUAUUGCCGCAGUUUGUACGCGGUGGAUAUACAGAAUAGUGUAGAAUGAAUUUACGCUCGUGCUAGGAUGCCGAAUUUUUUUUUUACAGUAGUGUAUAGACUGUUCCGGACUGUCGGGUGCCGUCGCAGUUGACGGUGGAUCCAGAUUUCUGUAUUUUAUAUCAGAUUGUGUCGAGGGCACGUGAGUUAUAGUUAUUAGACCAGUUAGACCCUUCUGCUUUGACUAUAGCCUGUAAGAGUCUGAUUGAACUCGGCAGAGAUACGCUUGCAUACUCGGUUGAGUAGCGCCCACGAGUGCCACUCCGGAGUCGGGUUUUGUGCUUUUGCGUUGUUGUCGUUGUGUCCUAGUUGGAUUCGCUCUCCACUGACCACCCAGUGUGGUGAUAGUAGUAUAGCUUCGACGGGCGGGACGGAUGUGUUCACAGUCCCUAGUGAGAUUAGGUAAGAGAUUGUAUUUUUCUACAGAUAGUUAGUAUUAGAUCGUGAUAGUAUAGUGGCAUAUAGCUGUAGAAUUGUUUCAGCUUUCUUUACUAUCCUUGAGCAUACUUCUGUAGACUUAGUGGGUAAGUUGUUGAGGUCGGUAACGGUACCCACUGAAGACUACUUUUUGCAGUAGUUUCUUCUUCGACUGCUGCUGUUGCUGAUCCUGAUCGUGGAAAAGGAGUCGCGAGCUAGAUUCCUUCCAGUUUUGUUGUUGCUUUAGAGGAGUACNUCAUACCCAGUUGUUGACUCCUUUUUGCAGAGUUUUCUUCUUCGACUGCUGCUGUUGCUGAUCCUGAUCGUGGAAAAGGAGUCGCGAGCUAGAUUCCUUCCAGUUUUGUUGUUGCUUUAGAGGAGUACCAGCUACAGGUAGUUUUGAGUUUUUGGGUCAUAUACAUACUAAUGUUUAAUCCUCGUUGGAGCGAGUGAUGUUGUAUCGAGAGGCUAUGUAUGUAUAGUAAACCCUAUAUUUAUUUAUUUAUGUUUACCGUUUUGUUAGCAGCUCUAUACUACUGGUUGUAAUUUUGUAUGAUUACAGGUAUAGGUACAACUCUCGCUUUGUAUACAGAAAAAUUUUCUUUGUAUACGACGGAUUUGUCGGUGUGCCCGAAAAAACGAGUAAUCCAGGGCGUGAUACUUUUGUUCAAUCUAAGGUUUUGCCUAUCGAUUUCUAUCAAUUUUUAUAUAUAGUAAAGAUAUAGAUAUAGAUUAAUAUAUAGUAUAAAUAUUUGAAAUUAAUGUUGAAAAUGUUUAGUAAAAAAGAAACGGCUAUAUAUUUUAAAAAAUAUUAAUUCAAUUAUGAGUUUAAAAUAUGAUAUAAAAAUAUUUAAUAAAAAGAGAAAGGUUAUACAUUAGAGAAUUUAAAUAUAUAUUUAAAAUUAAAUGUUAAUUUGAGUGUGUUUCAAUUAUGACAUAAAAAUAUUUAAUAAAAAAGGAAAGGUUAUCUAUUAGGUAAGAAGCUAAAAUAAAGGGGCAAUUGCUUAUAUACCCCCGAAAAAUUUUCGACUUGCUGAUUUACCUCUCUUAGAAGGCUAAUAUUGAAAAUACUGUUUCUACGUUCCAACCUAUUUCAAAUAUAUUAUUAGAGUUAAAUUCUGUUAAUGGACUAUUAAAAAUAGAUGUUAUCUAUGUGAAAUUAUUAUUUUACCCUUUCAAAUAUACCCUUCCAUCAUUACCGACUUUUCUUAUUUGCCCUUAAGUUAGGAGAAUAAAAAAUAUUUUGAUUUUUGGUUUUUUCUACCAUCACCAAUAUUUUUUAUUUGCCCCUAAAUUAAGGACGAAAGAGGUAUUUUGAUUUACUCUGGUGAAUAUUUAACUACCGUUUAACUCAAGUUAACUUAACGGGUAGUAAUUGUAAGAAUAUUUUAGAAUAACAGAGGAAUAUAUGAGAAGUAUAUUAGAAAGAAAAAAAAAUAGUGUUAAAUGAGAUAUUUUUAAAGUUUGGAGGGAUUUGCCUAUAUAUUUUAUUAAAUGAAAUUACUUAAUUUGAAUAAAGUCAAACAUUGAGGAUCUAGGGAUGUGAAUUCAAACAUUGAGAGGAUCUAGGGAUGUGAAUUCAGAAAAGUAAUGUUGAGGGGAUACAUUUUAACCCACCUUCUAGGACUUUCUGUUAAAUAAUCUAAUAAAAAUUUUAUUUAAAAAUAAUCUUUUCAAAAUUUUUUUGGGCUAAUGUUCUUGGUCCUUUAAAUGAAAAGACAAAGGACCGUCUGUAGCCGGCAUAAUAAAUUUAAAUAAAAUCAUUUUGUUUAAUUUGUGGAUUAUGUGUGGAUUGGUAGAUUUUUUGUCAAAUUGUUAGUAUAGAUGUUUUAAAAAAGGACAAAAUUUUUUUACCAUAUCAACACGUCAAAGAAAUGAUAUACAUAAUUCACUUUCUAGUUACAAUCUUAGUGCGAUAAAAGAUUUAUCAUUUUUUUAGGGUAAACUUUAAAUACCACUUCUAUAGUUUCACAUUUUUUCUCUUUAAUAUCCUGUGAUUUAAAGUGUAUCAAAUUAGUGUCUUGUGGUUUCAUUUUUAUCUUUUCAUCAGCUUCUCCGUUAAUAUUUCAUUAAAUUACAUAUAAAAAACUUCAGAUAUCCCACCUAGAUUUAUCAAAUAUCCACUUUAGUACCAUUUAGUUUUAACUUUGUCACUGAUUUAACGAAAAAAAUAGUAAAAUCGAUAAUAUAAAGAUAAAAAUAAAACUACAUGAUAUUAAAUUGAUACACUUUAAACCAUAGGAUAUUAAAGUGAGAAAAUAUGAAACCACAUAGAUGGUAUUUGAAAUUUUUUUUUUUUUUUACAUCUCAUAUUUACGUUAUUUACGAUCUUCGCAUGAUAUGAGAUUUAUCAUUUUGUCGGCUCUCAUAUUUACGUUAUUUACAAUCUUCGUGCAAUAAAAGAUUUAUCAUUUUUACCUCUCAGAUUUACUAUAAUAAAAUUAUGGAACAACUCCUUAUAUAUAUUCAUGAAAUAUUCUACAUUUUUUUUUGUUUACAACCCCCCUCCCCUGAAGGCUAAUAUAAAAAAAUAUUUUUUAAAUAUUUUAAAUUCAUUUAAAUAUACUCAUAUAAUUAAAUUCUAUUAAUGAACAAUUAGUAACAGUCGUUAUAUCUGUGAAAUUAUUAUUUUGUCCUUUCAUAUAUAUCAUUUUAUUAUCGCCAAUUUUUUUUAUUUAUGCAUAAUUUAGAUAUAAAUUUUUUUUUUUUAACUUUUUGCUUUUUCAAAUAAUAUAUCAUUUUCUUGUCACUAACUUUUCUUAUUUGUUAUUAAUUUAUAAACAAAAGAAAUAUUUUGUCUUUUUAAAAUUCUAAUAGAAAUUUAAUCUAGAUUUAGCUCGAGAUAAUUUAACCGUGACUAACAGUUGGGAUAUUUUGAAUAUUAAAAUUAUAUACGAGAAAUAUAUUUGAAAUAAAAUACAUAAAAAUUAUAUAAAAUAUUUUAGGGAAACUUCAAAUACCCCCUGUGGUUUCGCACUUUUUUCACUUUAGUAUUCUGUGGUUUAAAGUGUAUCAAGUUAGUAUCCUGUGGUUUCGCACUUUCUCACUUUAGUACCCUGUGGUUUCAAGUGUAUCAAGUUAGUACUAUGUGGUUUUAUUUUUGUAUUAAGUUAGUACCUGUGGUUUCAAUUUUCUCUUUUUAUUAUCUAUUUCGGUGUAUAUAAUUUAACAAAAUAUUGAACCACAGAUUACUAGAGUGAGAAAGUGCGAAACCACGGGUACUAACUUGAUACACUUGAAACCACAAGGUAUUAAAGUGAGAAAGUGCAAAACCACAUAGUGCUAACUUGAUACACUUUAAACUAUAGGGUACUAAAGUGAGAAACUACGAAACCAUGUGGGGUAUUUGAAGUUUCCCUAAUAUUAUUUUAUAUGCUUGGAGGGGCACAUAGGUACUUCUCUCUGAAAAAUUUUAUAAGAUUAUUUUCAAAAAUAGCCCUAUAUUCGUUACCGCUAUGGCGCUAUUCACGAACCGAUAAGAAGGCAGGUCUACGUCAGUGUGAGCGAAUAUCUCUAUCUCUAUUUUGUCUCUUCCUCUCUCUCUCUCUCUCUCUCUCUCUGUCUCUCUCCUCUUCCGCUUACACUAUAUCCGUCUGCAUCUCACCGGCAUUCCUUCUCUUCCUGUCCAAAACCAUACAAAGAAACAGAACCAGAGAGAGUUUGUGAGAGAGAGAGAGAGAGAGAGAGAGAGAGAUGGGGAAAGGUGGCGAAGGAUUCGAGGGGAAGGAGCAGAACAUGGCAGCCUGGCUGGUCUCGAUUAACACCCUCAAGAUCCAACCCUUCGAUCUUCCUCCCCUCGGUAUGUCUUCUUCUUCUUCAUCACUUCUGCCAUCUACUCCUCCCUAGCUAGCCCGGAUUUUGAAUAUGAAAAUAUUAUAAAUUACUGUUUUGAUUUGGCAGCUCAAAAGCUUUUAGAGUAAUCGAUUAUUUCAUAAGAUAUCUGCGUAGAGGGUUCUGAGUUUAAUUCUCAUAUAAGCUUCUAAUUUUAUAUUCAUUCUAUUUUUUUUUUUUUUGUAUAAUUUAACUCGGUGUUUUCGGUCCAUCAAAAAAAUGUCGAGCGGAGAUGUACCGGAGGUGAUGAAUAUAAAAGAUGUGGAUAAAUGUACAAACAACUGCGGAAUUUUAGAGCUUUGAUAAAUAUUCCUCUAGAAACCCUCUAAAUUUUAUCAAAUAGUUAAAUAGGUCCCUUUCCGAGCAAAAGUUACUAAUUAAAUAACCAUUUUCGGCAAUUUCUUAUAUGUGAUCUUGUAAAGCUUUAAAACACAGGGAACCCUUUCUUUCCUAUUUUAACCCUAUUCUUGAAUUCUGAUGUUUUAUGUUAAUCCAUGAGGGGAGAAGAAGGAGGGAGGCGGGGGUUGGUUGCAUUUUGAAGCUUUACAAGUAGAUCUGUAAGAUGUGCAUCAUCACAACUUUGCAAUUAGUAACUUUGUGUUUUGAGAAGAAGAACCAAUUAAACUAUUUGAUAAAGUUUAAGGCACGUUCUAUACAUAUUUUCGUAAUUGCGUAGGCUUUUAAAAACAAACAGUUAUUUCACUUAUUCACUGUUCAUGAUCCUUUCUAUCUCAUAUAUACUAUACAUAAUGAAUUAUCUAGUUUUUUUAAAUUGUUUUUUGUUCCGGGUUUUGGUGGCCCUUGUGUUGGUAAGAAGUUGCAGAUUCAGUACAUGUUGGUGUUCUUGAUUUCCUGUGUUAGAAAAUAGUCAAUCAAGGGUUCUUAUGCAUCUUGUCUUAAAUUAUUAACUCUUUUCUGCACAAAAUCGAAUUUUGUUUAGGCCCUCAUGAUGUCCGAGUGCGGAUGAAAGCUGUGGGCAUUUGCGGCAGUGAUGUUCACUACCUCAAGGUUCAUCUUUCGUCUUUGUACCUUUUUAUUCUAAAACCCUCUUUUCUUAAUAUCAAAUUCAUCUCAUUUUAUUGCGGGCUCAAAGAACACUGAGUUUCAUUAUGAACAUAGAAAGCAAUAGAUUCUCUUCCUGACUUGACAUUUCGUCGCCUUGCGUAUGUUGUUUCGUCCCAAUCACUCCUUUUGAAUGUUUGAAAUUAAUGGGACUGAAAACCGAUAAUCUUCGAUUUCUAUGAAAUACAGCAUAUGAGAUGUGCCCAUUUUAUCGUCAAAGAACCGAUGGUUAUUGGGCAUGAAUGCGCUGGAGUGAUAGAAGAGGUGGGCAGUGAAGUUAAGUCGCUUGUGGUGGGCGAUCGUGUUGCAUUAGAGCCGGGAAUCAGCUGCUGGAGAUGCAAACAUUGCAAGGGAGGCCGCUAUAAUCUAUGCACUGACAUGAAGUUUUUUGCCACUCCCCCUGUUCAUGGUUCUCUCGCUAACCAGGUUUUGUUGAAAGAUCUUUCUCUUGUCACGUAUCAUCCUUCUUAUUUGCCAGAAUCAUAUUCAGUGUACCAAAUAUUACCCAUAUUUAGUCAAAUUUAAUCACUAGUGCACCUAGUAGUAGAUAAAUUUGUUUUAGGCUUUUUUUUUUUUCCAUAUUUUUGUUGUUCAGAGAGAAAAGAAAAAGAGGAAUUUGGAAUAAGAAAUCCUUAUCGUCUUUGAAGUCACUGUAUGUUAGGUGUGUCUCAAGUUCUCAGAUUUGACCCUCUUCAUGUUGCAUCCGACAAUUUAAAGAGAAAAGCAAAGGGAAAAUUCUGUUGGAGGCUUGCGGUGGAAGUAUGGAGACGGCUUGGGCAAAUGUAGAUGGGUUUCUUUGUUUGUUGGGUUUUAUACACCCUUUCUUCUGAUUCUUUUAAUGGCUUUUGAGUGACAGUUAUUUUUUGUACUCUCCACUUUUGAUUGUAGUGAAAUCUCACUGUGUCUUCACCUGUGAACAUAGCCUUCAAAGCUGAACCAUCUAAAUAGAUUGUGUUCUCUUCUGAACUUCAAUUUCUUGAUUCUUUUUGGUGUUUGCAUCCAACACACUUUAGGAUUAGGACCGGGCUACCAUAAUAGAAUAUGGAAUUGUUGUGGGAAAAGCUAUUUCAAACUCCUACCUGCUUUCGUUCCAUUAUUAACUGGAGGCUUCACUUUAAGCUUUUCUUUCCAUAAUACUCAUACUUUUACAUUGGGAUUAAUGAAAUAUAUCUGUAACUUUAUUUUGACAGAACUAGAUUAGGAUACAUGUGACUCUAGCAUCAAAGAUAUGUCAGCAAGUAUGAGUUUAAACUUUUUCUUAUGUUUACCUAGGUGGUGCAUCCUGCUGAUUUGUGCUUUAAGCUUCCUGAUAAUGUGAGUUUGGAAGAAGGUGCAAUGUGCGAGCCCCUUAGUGUUGGAAUCCAUGCCUGUCGCCGAGCGGAGAUUGGUCCAGAGAAGAAUGUCCUUAUCAUGGGAGCUGGGCCGAUAGGCUUAGUCACAAUGCUAGCAGCUCGUGCAUUUGGUGCUCCAAGAAUCAUUAUUGUCGAUGUAGAUGAAUAUCGUCUUUCAGUUGCAAAAUCUCUUGGUGCAGAUGAUGUUGUUAAAGUCUCUACCAGCAUGCAGGUUCCACUACCUAUUUUUUCUUAUUUUAUUGCAGCCCCAUUAAUUAUGGCAUUUUCGCCGGCAUGAUUUUCUGUUUCAACAUGUUCUUUCGGUUGUUUAGUUAAACUUUUUAGUUAAAUUGCAAGGCAACUAUAAUUAGCUGUUUUUUCCACUGUUAUAUUUAAAAUAUUAAAUUCAUUGCUCGUCCCUUGUCUUGCUCUCUGUUUCAUUUGUUUACACCUUUAUUGUAGAAAAUCACAUUUCUAUAACCUGUUUUCUCCAUGUUGUACUUCAUUUUCAUAAAUCGAGUUACAUUUGAAGAAUGUCAAAUGGGUUCAUGAAUUUCUAGAAAAUAGACCAUGAACGAAGUGUGCGAAUUGCCUUAGAGAUGUUAUAGCUAAGUUAAAAGGAGCGAGCUGAGCAUCAAAUAAUAAGGUUUGAAAGUAAGAGUAAUUAAUGGUUGUAAGACUUCCAUUGCUCAAACAAUUGAUAAUUAACUCUUUUUUUUAAUCUUGAGAAAAUAUGUGAUAUGUUCUUGUUAACCCAGAAGUAGGGCUGGCAAACGAGCGAGCCGGCUCGCGUUCGACUCGUGUUCGGCUCGAUAUUCGGCUCGCUCGAGCUCGACUCGAAAUUAAAUGAGCCAAGCUUGAACAACAUAAAAGGCUCGAAAUUCAUUUCAAGCCGAGCUUGAGUAUUACUCUGCUCGUUCGAAUUAGGCUCGAAAAGCUCGAAAAAAAAAAUAUAUAUAUAUAUAUAGGCCGGGGCUACUAUACUCUUAUGAGUAUAGACCCCCUUGUACUCAUAAAUUUUUAACCGUNAUAUAUAUAUACAUAUAUAUAUACAUACAUAUAUAUAUAUAUACAUACAUAUAUAUAUAUAUACAUACAUAUAUAUAUAUACAUACAUAUAUAUACAUAUACAUAUAUAUACAUAUACAUAUAUAUACAUAUACAUAUACAUAUAUAUAUAUAUAUAUAUACAUAUACAUAUACAUACAUAUACAUAUACAUAUACAUAUAUAGGCCGGGGCUACUAUACUCUUAUAAGUAUAGACCCCCUUAUACUCAUAAAUUUUUAACCGUUGAUUGAUGGGAUGUGGUUAGGAUGAUGGUGGUCCCCACUUAGAAUGAUAGUGGUCCCCUAGAGUUGAGUGGGUAGUUGGUUAAAUAGUAUGAUCUAACGGAUGAAAAUGAUUAAUGGAAUAAAUUUAAGGGUCGAAAACUUAUGAGUAUAAAGGAGCCAAUACUCAUAAAAGUAUAGUAGCUGAACUCUAUAUAUAUAUAUAUAUAAUAUUUAUAAAUAUAAUGUAUUUUAAUUAUAUAUAGGCUUUAAUUUAAUUUCGGCCACUAUUGUUGGCCCAUAAAAUAAACCCAACAAGUACAAACGUACAAUUGAGCCCAACUCUAAAUUUACAUAACACUUUCACUGUUGCACAUAACCCUAAAACAUGAUAACAUUCAAAUUUUCAAAUUCCUACUUUUUUUCCUCUCUCUCUCUCUCUCUUUCUCUCUCUUUCUUAGACCCUCAUCGAGUCAGGAAGUCACCCUAGCUCACAUUUUUUAUAAUUAUUUUGUAUUUUGAAUUAUUGGACAUGUUGCAUCAAAUUGUAGAUAAUGUUCUAUAAAAAUUAAACUAUUGAUUAUAUAAUGUCGAGAAUUUCAAUCGGCUCGUUUAGAGCUCGAGCUCAGCUCGACUCGAAAUUAGGCUCGCUCGAGCUCGGCUCGAAUUAAUUUCAAGCUGAGCUUGAGCCUAGAUUUAGGCUCGAANUAAAAAUUAAACUAUUGAUUAUAUAAUGUCGAGAAUUUCAAUCGGCUCGUUUAGAGCUCGAGCUCAGCUCGACUCGAAAUUAGGCUCGCUCGAGCUCGGCUCGAAUUAAUUUCAAGCCGAGCUUGAGCCUAGAUUUAGGCUCGAAAUUAAUUUCAAGCCAAAUUUGAGCUGACAUAAGCUCGCUCGAGCUCGGCUCGUUUCCACCCCUACCCAGAAGGUCAAUCUGUUAUCAGUCUUUCCAGAGUGGAAUCAUGAUAUUAACACCUAUUUACACAUACCUCCUGAAGAUGAGACCCAGUACGCACCUAGCAGCGACAAAUAAUUUGAAAUAUGGCUGAGAAAACCUAUUAUAAAGUGCCACACUGGGCGACUAUGGCACAAUUCAUGAAGCAGAUGGCCUAGAAAUGGGUUCUUUUAUUGUGCAUAGCUGACCUAUUGGGAAAAAUAUUAAAAACGCGUCCUUGAUAGUUCACAAAUUAAUGCAUUGUUCAGAAGCUUAAUAUUUUUGUCAUCAUAUGAUGGACGCAUUUCAACCCUGAUAUUAGUUGGCAUCUUUCAUAAUCACGUUAAAGAUGCACCGGCACUCAACCAAGGUUUGCAACAGCCAACUAUUAAUGUUUUGUUUAGGCUUGUUUCGAUUUACGAACAUUUUGUUCAAGAUACUACUUUUGUUUACUUCGUAUAUGCUGCCUUUAUGCCAUUUUUUCUUGGCAAAUGAUGAAUCACUCCAUAGCUGGAGUGAUUCGUCCUGAAAGAUCAAAAUUAUGGUGGCCUUGCAAUGGGACUAAAAUCAAGCUUUUAAUUGCAAUCACAAAAGAAUAUCCCUAUAAUGCACAAGUUGUCACUUGCUAACUUGUUCUUACAUCUAGAUAGGCCCUAAGUUCGGCCAAAAGCAUCAGAUAUACUUUCUACUUCAACUAAAUCUUCUGCUAUCUGCCUUCAGACACAUGGAUGCAAUUCAAAUAUGAUUUGACUUUCCAGCACAGCCUACAGUUUGCAUUUUUCAGAGUAUGAUAUACUUUUCUUUAACGCGAAUUAGAAAGUGGGAUAUAGAAUGCUAAGUCUUUACUGUUGGUUGUAGAGAAUGAUGAUGUAAGAGUGCCAAAUCUUUACAGUUGAUGGUUCUAGUUAUUUGUCUUCUUUCUCUUGUGGCAUUUACAAAAUCCUUUUAUGUGCUAUGUUGUUCACUCCUUGUUCAUUUAUUUGAUAUGUAAAUAAUUAUAUUAUAUUUGAAAUUGGCUAGAAAGGCAACAAACUCGGGCUUAGGUGUUCGAGAAGAACAUCAUAAGAUCUAAGCAAGAGUUUAUAUCAUUCAACUUUGGUAAAAAUGAGAAGGCAUAUAGUAAAAAUUAAGUGAGAUUAUCAUGCUAUCCUGCUUCCUUAUUUCUCAAAACUACAUGAGAGACAUUUGAUAUCAUAUCAUUUUCUGGGAAUAACCUAUGUGAUAAGGCUUAAGGUUCUGGUCCUGUUUUCAAUUAUUACUGAGGUUUAUACUUCUCUUUUUUGGCAAUUUCCAAAAAACAUAAAAAGAAUGAGUACUGUACUCAAAUGAAAGCAAAAUUAAAUCAAAUCAAUAAUUUGCAGUGCAUAUGGAGAUAUGGAUAUGUUGUUUUAGGCAAUCCUUUUCAUUGUUAUGCCGAUUUUGGGAUGGAACAUAUAGAAAUGGUAAAGUGGGAUGAAGCAUUUGAAACAGCAUAGUAUCAAGAACAAGCAGUAGUUCAUAAUAAAAUGGUUCUACUGUUUUAAUCCACUUAAUUUUCAUAUGUAGGUAUAUCUUCAUGGAAUAUUCUUCAAAUAUGUGAUAUCACUAUUGUCCAUUUGUAUUUGCCUCCCUCGUUGCUACUGCCCGAUAAUUUUAGAGAAAUUUCAAUCAAUUGUUUUAUUAGAUAUUUGGUAGUGGCUGCAGGUUAUCAAAUACAUAUCUAAUUACAUGGAACUUUUUCUGAUAGAUCCUCUUAUUUUAGCAUUUGACAUGAAUGAAUUCUGUGAUCUUAAAUUUGUUGAAAUGAAAUGCACUAGAAUGCAAUUUGGAUUUAAAUUAUGUUUGUUAGGCGCACACAUGUCGGUUUGGGUUAAAAUUUUGCGAGAAUGGCAGCUGGUAGGAUGGUAGUGGGUACAAGUAGCGGUUUUAGCCUAAGCUCAUCAACUUGGAGAAACCUGAAACCAAUCCAGAGUUACCGGGAUUGGAGAUGCCCCUCUGAACCAUGAUCCAGAUUGCAUGUACAGAUUUGUGGUGGGUUCUCGAUCCGGAUCACAAAUAGUGGCGAAUCGGAACAGUAGAGAAGUAUUCGAUUUUUCUAGAUUAAUUUGUUUAGUUACUUAAAAGAAAUGUGCCUUACUAUAGAGAAUAAUACAAAAGAGUUAUAUUCGUAUGGAAAAAAAUUGAGGUGGUUUUUAGAGGAAGAGAGAAUACCCAAUCCGACCUUAAUGAAGAAAAAAACUAUACUGCAACAAAGGUAAGUUAUUGAGUUUCUUAUGUAUGUCAAUCUGUGUUGAUGCCCUAAACAAACUACAUUCCGGAAUAACGUUCUGACUAAUCCCAACCCCCUCAUACCGUGUUCCUAAGAAACUAGUGAGCCACGUUCCAGUACUUGUACCACACACAUGGCAUCCUGUUCAAAGUAACAUUGUACGAACCUACUUGAUUGGUGUUGAUCCAAACGGCAAAAAGGAUCUGUUUUAACGGAAAAAGAUCUAAUGCAAUAAAUCUUCUCUUCCGAUCCAUGCUGAAGCGGCGCAGCAAUUUUAUCCUCUUUAUACAAACUCAGCAGCAUACCAACAAUGUUCUGCUUAACUAGUUUCGAUGUUAUGUAUGAUGUCGUAGAAUGAAAAAUUGGAAUUUUGACUCAUGUCAAAUCAGCAUCAAACACUCACAUUGUACUGAAUAAUGGAUUUGUUUUCAUGUUGUUGCAAAUUCCUGCUUUCAUUUGAUUGAAGGAAAAGGACUACUUGAUCCCUGAAAAUUUUUUGCCAGGAAAAAUAUCCUCACACAUUGUUAAAGCCAAUCGAACCCUUUAUGUAAAGAAUAUGCUUUAAAACAUGUGUUAGAUUAACAGUCUAACAAUGAACAGUAAAACAGUUCAAUGGUACAUAUUACUUCGAAAUUGACAAUACAGAAACAGAUUCCAUAACUGUGUAAUAAGUUGCCACCUAUUUUUGUGUUAGUUUCUCAUUUCUCCUAUUUUGUUCAUUGUCUACUUUUUUUUAACCUAGCUUCCUUUCUUUUUUUAUUUUAUUUUAUUUUCACCUACUGCUUUAUGUGUUGCAAUAUAUAUCAGCUUUUGCCAUGGUUAACUUGGAGAUCUUCUUUUGUAUAGGAUGUUGAUGAGGAUGUUGUUCGUAUACAAGAGGUUAUGGGUGCUGAAGUUGACGUGAGCUUUGAUUGUGCUGGUUUGAGCAAAACUAUGUCGACUGCUCUUAGUGCUACUCGUGCUGGUGGUAAAGUUUGCCUAAUUGGAAUGGGCCACAACGAGAUGACUGUUCCCCUUACUUCAGCCGCAGCAAGGUACUAAACUUUCUUUCAGGUUGACCUUCAACUACAGCAUGAUACUAAACUUUCUUUUAUGUGACCUAAAAGUUAAGGUUAUGCGGUUAAAGAUAAGAACAUAGAUUCCUAUUUGUUACGGCUUCUAGAGCUACAUCUCUAUUUGGAAAAGCAGAAGCUUCUAGAAAACCAAGUGAAAUGAACUUCUGUGCUGAAAUUGAAGGCUGCUAUUUUGAAAAUCAUGAUGAAAAUCUAUUAAUGCAGCUCUUGUCUAGAAACACUCGCAGAAACUCCAGUCAGGCCAAAUAGGCCAUAAGGCUAUCUGACUCUUUUUUCUUUUUCUUUUUUUUUUUUUUUCUUUUUUUCCCUUCUCUCUCUCUCUCUCACCUUUAGGCAAAUUUAUCAUCUUGAAAAUAUGAGUUCUGUCGGAUUACUAAGAUAAUAAUGUGUUCCUUUUGGAUAGGGAGGUUGAUAUCGUCGGCAUCUUUCGCUAUAAAGACACUUGGCCUCUAUGCCUUGAGUUCCUCCGAUCUGGAAAGAUUGAUGUAAAGCCGCUGAUAACUCAUAGGUUUGGGUUCUCUCAGAAGGAGGUUGAGGAAGCUUUUGAGGUCAGCGCUCGCGGCAGUGAUGCAAUCAAAGUUAUGUUUAAUCUUUAGACUAUGAGCUAAGGUGUGCUUAAAGAGUGUAGCAGAGUAAGUCUCCCUUUGAUAUAGAAAUAAGAAUAAGUGGGUAUCGUGUUAAUUAUUAUCUGGAAACAUAUGUAACUGAGGAGUGGCUUUUGUUCGAAAGCUGGAACUCUCUUAUGGUAUGUAUUGUGCUCUUCUAGUCCUGUUUGAUAUUUUACUGGUUUUUCAUCUCAUAAUGAUGUUGCUGUUUACCCAUGGUCAUUGUUUCUGUUAUAUAUAAUUUAGGCCCCAUUCCAAGAACCUCUCAUAGCAAGUUAUAUAUAUAUAUAUAUAUAUAUAUAUAUAUAUAUAUAUAGUCUGAAAGCGGGGUUAAAUCGCCCCUUUAAUAUAGCUGCAUGCAGGUGAUCCAGAAUCCUCGACCUGUUGUCAGCGAUCGGGAUGUGUCCGAACAUACAUUCUUUUUAAAGUUGUUACUAGGAGUAUGAUCAUGGUGCUUUAUUGAAGCUGGUAAGUAGCUUAGCGACAUUUGACGUGAGUACCAUCUUCUGCAGGACGAAAAAGUCUCUUAAUUCCAUUUUCGCAUUACCCUAGUUGGAUUUGCUAUUUAAGAGUUGCCCUGGUUGGAUCUGCUAUUUAAGAGUUUUGUUACAUCACUUAGACUUCUUUUUUUAAUUCCGGUUGUUUUGUGUAUUUAGCCACUGUUUUUUUUUGUCAGCCGUAUUACUUCUAGCAGAGUAAGAUUUUCUCAGAUGUCUCGUGAAUCUGCCAAAUGCUUCCAUUUUGCAUAUUUAGGUAGGAAUUCUUCUGAUUAUGUACCAUUUUUUAUCAGUAUUUCUAUUUUUUUGCCUUGCCAGACCGAACCCACAACCAGCGAAGGAGCCAUUUGAUACCGAGACAUAUCUAACACUACUACUAGAUAAAACAAAAUUAGAGAAAGCAUAUAUAUAUAUAUAUAUAUAUGUAUAUAUAUAUAUAUAUAUAUAUAUAUAUAUGUAUAUAUAUAUAGAGAGAGAGAGAGAGAGAGAUAUUUGUAUUUCUCAAUGGGACUAUAAAAAAUAUAUUGUGAUCAAUUUAUUGUGAAAUAUGAAACCUUAUAUUUUGUAAGGAAACGACCAGAUAUCGAAGUUGGUGAUGUAAUUUAUGGAUACAAUAUGAAUUCUGCCAAUUAGAAAGAAUUAAUAAAUAUAUUUUCAUAUCAGUGUUGCUAUACUAUUGUAUAAUUUUUUAAGCGGGGAAAGAGGGUUGGAGUGUUUAUGUGGGUGGGGGUCGUCAUUAUCAUGUUAGGUAGGGGUCGAUGUUAUCAUGUUAUGGCCAGGGUUUGAGCCCACAUCCGCACAUUUGUGAUCUUCUGCCUUUGACUUUCAUCAGGUAAUAUUUGUUAGAAUAAUCUCUCUUUUCUUUUAGUAAAAUUUAUAUUAUUUUAAAAAUAUUUUAAAACAUAAAGUUUAUGUAAGUAUUUUGAAACGCAUGCAAGAACUAGUAACCAGGGACGGAGCCAUGUAUGGACCCAAAGGGGCCAUGACCCCCCUUAACUUUUUAAUAUUUAUUUUAUAGUCCUUUGGUAGCUUAUAAAUUUUUAGUUAAUUUUUAAAAUAUAUGGAUCUAUCCUGUAAAAAAAUUUUAGUGCUAAUAUAGAGCACUCUCUCUCUCUUUUUAUGUGUUUUAUAGGUGAAAAUAUACUAAGAACCUCUUAAUUAUAGUACAUUUUGAAAUAAGUUCUGUUAUGAGCCGAAUUCUCCAACCGUUGACCUGGUCAAAGAUUUCCUUUGGGAUGCGUGCUAGGAGUAGAUACGGUUGUACGCGGUGACCCUCGAAGUAUGCGCCCUUCGACUGAUCAAGCGAUUUCAGCCGAGUUCGAAACUCUCUACUACGGAAUCAGUUUGGCUGAAUGAACCGAAUAGGAUACUGUACAGUGGUUUUGGAUCAGCCGACGAGCUGAAUGGCCUUUAUAAAUUAAAACUUAAAAUAUUGAAUUCGUACAAGAGAGAGUGUGCCUGUAAGGUAUUUAGAUUCUAGAAAUCUAAAUUAAAGACUAUUCCUAGGAAAUGCAAGAAAAGAAAGAUUAUUGAUAUACUACUCCUAAAAAAGCAAGGAAAAUGCAUGGAAAUAGAAAAGGUGGUCUUCUAUUUGCUGGGAAAAGACCCCUCUUCCAGGCGUUACUCGCCUAUUUAUACUCCGCGCAUUGUUAUUCAGUUAUGUACACGAUCGACCACUUUUCUGAUUUCGUGGGCAACUACAAGCCGAUCCUAACCGCUCAAACCGCUUGUGGUUAUAUUGUGAUUUACUUUGUGCUCCUGGUGCACCACAUCAAGUUUUAGAAUCCCUAACGAGCCGAGUGCCAAUUUUCCACAUGGCAUUUUAUUGGCGUCAACAAUUGCCCCCCUGGCAGCUCCCGAACAGACAGUUCGGUAGCUAACGUAAACUCUUCCAAGGCGCGAAUUUCGAAAUCAUUAUUUCGAAUUGCCUUGUACCAUCUUCUCUUAGCCGUUCUUUCACCUUUGACGGCCACGAUCUCCUACACAUUCCUUUUUGUCUCUUAUGCGGCAUUUAUUUGGUCAUUUAUUUCCGCUGUCUCGUCAUCAUUAAAGCCGUUUUCAGAAUUCCAUUUGACGGCCCUUUUCUUUUUGUCUCUUUUGUUUUCUUCUUUCCUACGCUUCCCUUUUCCUCUCUUCUUCCUUUGUUUUUCUUUCUUCUUCCUUUUCGCCCGAGAAUCCCUUUCUUCUUUCGUCUUCUCCAUUUUUUUUUUUCGUCGCCUCUAAUGGCUCCGCUUUCUCCUCUUCCUUCUUCUCCAUCUCUCGAUUACACUUUUCUUAGACAAUAUGUUGGGUCGGACCCUUCUCGAUUUAUUUUAGAUUCCUCGUUUACAAUGACCCUAUCCUUGAGGAUUUCUUUUUCUCAAGUGAGGGUCUUCCUUUAAUGGUUGAUGCCAUUCAUCUCCACUCUUGGUAUGCUUCAACUUCGACGAGAAAAAGCCUUCAGACUUGGCCGAGUGUUUCGGAAGCAUAUCUUGCUUGGUUGGAUCGGGUGGAAGCGUUGUAUGCCGCCGAUCUCUGGCGCGAGAUUGAGAUUUAUGAAGCCAUUCAAUUAUCUCGAACACCUUCCAUAGCCGAUAACCUUCUUUUGGCUGCGGCUCUUUAUUUCUGAUCCCCUGUUUCCAACACCUUCUUUUUUAGAGCGGGACCCUUUACUCCUACUCUCCUUAAUGUAGCAGCAAUUGUUGGUUUGCACCCUCAUGGCAUUACCCUUUCAAUGGCCUACAAUCCUGACAGCGUGACCGAUUUUGAGGCCCAUCUUGAUCUAGCUGAUCUAGCUUAUACCAAGUUUAUCCGCCGGUUUGCAGGCCAAUCCCCUGCUCCAGUUACAAAGAAGGAGAACAAAACAUUCCUUCAUUACUGGUUAUGUCAUAACCUUUUCUAUACUCGUUCACAGAAGAUAAAUCGAGAUUUUGUUCCAAUCGUCGUACGUAGGUUGAGCUAACGACAAAAAAUUAGCCUUGGGUGUAUAUUUUCUUGCCUUCGUUUACAGAGAAAUUUUUGAUUCAAUCAAACCAUUGCCGUCCGGAGAGGGUUUAGCAAUUGGUUUUGGUUGUGGUAUUCUCUGGUUUUUGCAAAUGUGUUUGCAAAUUUAUUUUCCUUCUUUGUGCCGAAACCCUUUAGAAAUAGAUUCGGCUCCUCAUUUUGAUAUUUAUGGGUUGGCUCUCGGUUGUCCAAAGCCUAUAUCCUCAGGCCACCCAUAUGAAUUCGGCAAUUAUUUCAAAGUUUUUUAUGAAUCGCGUUCUCAUCGCCUUAUCUCGUGGUCCCCAUUUGCAAAACGCGUCACUUGUCCACCUUGGUUUCUUACUCAAUAUAAAGCCAUCUAGGGUGAGCUGGCCUUUUCUCAGGCCAGCGAAUAUUCAUACGUUUGGUUUUCUUUAUUAGCGGCACGGGAUCUUCACGUUGGGUUGAAAACACGUUCUAAAUUGAUGCCCAGUACUAAAGUUUAUUCUCCUCAGUAUACUGUGCGUCAAUUUGGAUUUGUCCAAGCAAUCCCUGCACCGGCCAAAUUUUUCACGGCCAAUACUGCCGUUAACCAUCCUCCCACUAAGAGCACAGCCGAAGCUGAUCGGCUUUUGACCAUGGGGAAUCAUCUUCGACGCUUCUUCAAAUUAGUAAGCUUUAGGCCGAAUCACACGGGAGUAAUGGGUUUUCAUUUUACAGCAUAUUGGGAUUCUUUUUGUAAGCGAAUCUUUAUUCUGAUAACGCCACACGCGCUUCGUAAGGUUCUUUAUCCGGAAGGUAUGCUGCUUACUAAUUGAUCUAUUUUCAUGUUUAAGUUUCUUCUUCGGCUCAUUUUAUUUAUUUGUAGCAGUCCCUUUUUCAAACAAGGAUAUCUCACUCGAUCCCCCUGCACAAGAAGAAUCAGGGAAAAACUCCGUCGAGAUUCUGAUGAUUUAUCCCGCCCCUCUGUAGUGAUUCUUGCUUUUUCAUUUUUGCCAUCUUUUCUGUACGUAGUUGAUUUGACUCAUUUAUGUAUAUAUAUAUUCUUAUAUACAAUCCAUUCCGGCUACUUCAUCGGUCCCUUGUUCGGAGAAGCGACCGAUUGAAACUGAACAAUCUACUUUUGCGCCGCUCCCAAAGCGGCGCAAAUCAGUUGUGAAGAAGAUCCAUUCCUCAGCUCCUACAGUCGUCGAAGAUGCAUCUUCUGCUGAUGUUCCACCAACAUCUGAGAAAAAUCUUCCUCAAUCAUCUCCAAAUGAACCAAUCUCAGCCGAGGUAAAUCCUCAACAUAUUUUGAUUGACUCCUCUUCUUCUAAUGCUUCAAACGGAUCACCUUCACUUUCUCCUUCGGUAAAACAGACGCUUUUGGGAAGAAGUUCUCGCGUCCGUUUCGCUUCGUCCUUGGGGAAGAAAAUGUCUGAUACUGAAAGACAAGCUCGCCGAGAAGCUCGUCUUGACAAGCGAGAAGCGGAACGAAAACAGGUGAAAUUGAGAAAGAUGUGGAGAAGGCAAGAAAGAAGAAAGAAAUGGAAAAUAUGUCAACUUAGGAGGAAAUUGAAGAUGACAGAGGCGAGGGAGAAAGAAGUGAAAAAGAAGAAGAACUAAAAAGAAGAGAAGAAGAGGAAUAAGGAAAAGAGAAACAGAGUGAAGAGAAACAAAGAGAAGGGGAUAGUAAAGAAAAAGAAAUAGGUAAAGUUUCUCCUUCUGCACCUUCAGCCGAAGCUUCAACAUCGGCCCCUUUACUAGUGUCUAAACCAGCAAACCCGUUGACUGUUUCUAUUCAAGACUUAUUGGCUUCAAGCCCGAAUUCAAAUGAAGAGGAAGACUUCUCUGCCAUUAUGUCGGUUGACACUCAACAAUGAUUAAAUGAGUGCCUAAAAUUGUAUAAUAGCAGUCUUCCUUCUUUGGCUCGGAAUACGGAACAAUUCGAUCGGCUUGGAGCACUCCUGCUUGACCUAGUAGACCAGCUGGAUCUUUCUCCUGCAGGUAAAUGUUUUGCAGAAACCUUGUCCUCUCAACUCUCUUCCUUUUUGUCUCAGCAACAAACCUUUGCCGAGUUCUUAUCUUUGGAUCACCACUUCAGCCGGAUU